AAAAAUCAAAGGCGUGAGCUCCCUAAAUAAGCUGAACUACUGAUAUAUACUCCAUGGGGUAGUGGCUAGCUGCUUCACAGUUCCUGGCACUUAUUUGGCGACGCCGGUCUCCUCGCAGCCCGGGGGCUUGUAGGCGAUGAACAUGAUGCACUGCACCUGCCUGACGUUGUCGAAGCCAAGGAUACGGAUGUAGGCGUCGGGGUAGGCCUUCUUGCACUCCUCGAGCUCAGCGUACACCUGGGUUGCCUCGGUGCAGCCGAACAUGGGCAGCUUCCACAUGGUCCAGUAACGGCCGUCGUAGUAACCGGGAGACCUGUUGUUCUCACGGUAGACGAACCCAACCUUGCUGAACUCGAGGCAAGGGAUCCAGUUCUUCCGGAUCAGGUAGUCGAUCUGCUUCAGGAGAUCGUCGGUUGAGAGAGGCGGCAGGUAGGAGAGGGUCUCGAACUUCUUGCCCCCAAUCGGCCACACCUGAACAACGACACCCAGUUGCUUUCAGCUCAGAUUUGAACACCAGCAAGAUAGAAUAUAAUUCCAGUGACUAGAUCGAUCAAUUGUUACCUGCAUGCACCUGAUCCUCCCGCCGUUGCUGACGUUGCCGAAGCCGGAGCUGGUGGAGCGGCGGCUGACGGGGAGUCCGGCGGUGGACUUGAGCCCCUGGAAUGGAGCGACGGAGGUGGCGGCCAUCGCGGUGGGGGCCAUGAUGGCUUACUAGCUGAGGAGACGAGCUACAGAGCAAGAAAGUUUUGCUGCCACCUCCGUGCUCGUCCCUUCUCGUUCACGCCCCCUGGUUCCUAUAACCAAAGCAGGAGAGACGUGCACGGACAUCUGGAUGGGGAAGGAGUGGCUGCUGUUCGAUAUCAUCCAAUCUUGUGUGGCUGAUGCCGCAACACGGCAGCUGUAGCCUGCUCGUGACCAUAGAGCCACACGCUCCGUUGUUGGCUGAGCAACGGAGAUGGCAUGCGGCCGGUGCGAAUCCAGCGGGAAAAUUACAGGACACGGCGAACGGUCGAAGUAAACUGCUGCGCUGAUAACGAUCGAUCGAUUUUUCAGUUCUGUUUAUGUUUCCUUUUCACGUAUGUGUCGUCAUCUCUGCAAAGUCUUGACUUCCACAACGGAGUGUCGUUCUGCCGUUCUGCGUAUUAGGAAGAUUGUCGUCUUCUGGUGACGUAGCCUUUUUCCAUUCUUUUCCUUACCGUUUGUUCCCCUUAGCAUGUAGCCUUCUCCAACUAUCCCUGUUUUUAGUGAAGUCGCUUUAUUUUCACGAAAUAGGAUUAGCAACGUAUCUCUUUGCUGUCGGUCUAUCUAUGCCAGCGUGAAUGGCACAUAUGUGUCAUAUAUGUUAUUAUGUAACUAAGUACUCCCUCCGUUCUAAAUUGUAGGUCGUUUUAAUUUUUCUAGUACGUUAUAUCUAUGAACUAAUAUCUAUGAACUUAAAAAUACUAAAACAACCUAGAAAGCUAAGGAGUUCAUCAUAAGGGCAAACUUCACCAACAUAGAAUCUGACUCCUCGACCACUACUUUGCUCAUGCCCAUCUCAUCAGUUGCACUAACACCCUCCAAGCACGCCAGGAUGUCUGCAUGGAACGCGUUCAUUAGAUUCAGACAUCCACCUGCCCCUGCUCUGGUCACCUGGCCAUCUCCAUCCCUGAUUACAUAUCCCCACCCUCCUCCUCCUCCUGUGCUGGCUUUGAAUGCACCAUCUAAAUUUAUCUUGAAAGAAUCAUUGAUGGGCCUGCUCCAGUGCUGCUGUUGACGAGGUAGCUGGACCUUCCCCUCACCCAUCUUUGUUUUUCAACCUUCUUUGAAAGAAACAAAUCAAAGGCAUGCUCCCUUCUUGUCCUUGCGAACCUCAUGUGUUUAUGCGAGAAGGAAGCUCUUGCAGAGGUAACAAUAUCUUUUUUUUAUCUUCUUGAUUUGCAUUCUAAUGCAUUAUCUUUGUGCUCUUAUAUGGCUGAUUUGGAUUUUGCAUUUAAAUUGUGUUAUUCCCACCAAGCAUGUCGUUUGGAUGUAUAUUCGGAAACAAAUGCCUAUUGUUUCGUUGGUGAAUGCAAGGAUUGAUCGUGCUUGGUCUGGCAACUAGCAUUCUUUGUAACAUCUCAUAUUUUUAUGUAUUGUUAUGUGCACAGUUCUCAAAUUUCAAACUUUUUGAUUGAAUAAAAUUAGGCAUGAAAAGGUUUCAGAUAUAACCGAUGCUGCUGCCCUAGUGUCAAUUCCUAAUUAAAAUUAUGCACCAAAAAAACUUGAGCAUAGUAGUUGCAUGAGUAAUUUGAAGUUAUUGGAUUUAGUUGGAUUUUUUCCUAGAGGCGGAUUUGAAUUUGAAUCAUGGAUUUGAAUUCAAAUGUAUUUCAAGUCUGGAACAGAAAAACUUGAUAACAUGAAUUCCAUGUUUUCCAGCAAAUGCGCACCUCCCGAUUGCCAAAACUUUUCUAUCUACACUCCAAAUCUGUCGAUCUAUAGGUCUGUCCAAUUUUGUCCAUCGAAUCGGGGGCUUCAUCAUGGUGUGCCUUAAUAUGUGAUUUUGCCUCACUUUCUUAUUGGUUUAGACACUUCUUUCUAUCUUUCUAUCUCCAAUAAAAUUAAGGCAAAUGCCUAGAGAAAAUAUUCAACAACAACAAGAUAGCCUUUCGGUCCCAAGCAAGUUGGGGUAGGCUAGAGUUGAAAUCCAACAAGAACCACAAAUCAGGGCUCGGAUUUCUCUUGGGUUUCAUCUCUGUUGGGGAAUUGGCCCAGGGUCGCGGGCUGGAAGGAUUGUCUCCGCCGGGACACUUCCGGAGUUUCGGAAGUUCUCCUUUUCCCUACGGAGAGAACAUCCCCCUUUUUCCCCCUCUCUCUGCGGCAGCCACGGACCUUGGGGCCGAGGAGCCAUGGGAACCGAGAGAACCCUAGAGCUACCGGGGGUCUCUCAAACUCAGAACUUAGGAGGCUUUCGCUGUCACCAAAGCCCUUGUCGGAACACGCCAAUAUCGUGCCAGCCGGUCCGAACCGUGUGGGGGUAGGAGGACCCAACUAAAUAAUUCGGAGCUCCUUCGAAGAUCUCUACCCUACCUGGAAGCCCCACGCCUCGGGGAAGAAGAAGGAUAGAGACAGAACGCCGGUCCCUACUCCUAUAGGGGCCCUGGGAGUAAGAACUUUAACUUUACUCACCCUCGGGGGAAAAGGAGUGCGCCUGCGUCAGCCCUAGAUAUGGAGGCUGAUGUAUCCACCCUCCAUACGAGAAGCGCGGGCAGGGAGACACCACGUUAGCCCUAGGUACAGAGGAGAGGGUUAGACCUUGCUACCCUUAAGACCGUACGCCAGUGGGUCCAGUGCCGAAGGCACUGUACCACAGGCAUAAGGGUCCUUAGUCCAAAAAGGCCCCGCUCCCUUAGGCUAUAAAUAGAAGAGUUAUGGGCUCACUCAAGAUACAAAAUGCUAGCCACUUAGUCCCCUAGAAGCUCUUUUGGACAAGUGUCUUGUUCAAGAGCCACCAUGUCUUGUUCAAGAGCCACCCUCUACUGUUUGGGCAUUUCAUAACCACCAACAAUCUCUAUUAGAAUGGUUAGGUUUAAUGUUGGCCUCCUUUACCAGGACUUGGGACCUGCUAUGUUGAGACAACAUAGGUGGAGUUAGAGAAAACAUUCAAAACAUGCAAAAUAAGUUAGUAAACAAAAUCUAUGGAUAUGAGUGUUAAUAACCAAGUCUGCUAAUGUUAGUUGUCAACUGUCAAAACUAUAUACUCCAAUGGAAACACAUACUUCAAUUUUUCUUGGGUUCUCCAAUUUUUACAAUUAACAAUUAUGGUCUUCAACAUAUAUGCUCUCAAAUCCUUAGUGGUAAAAUUCCACCUCUGUUUACCCUUAAUAUUAGCAUAAAAAUAACCAUCAUUAUCAUUGAUCAUACAUAAUAAUCAGAUCAUAUCCACAUAUAGCUGUGUUUUGGAGCAUACCGUGUUUUUGAGGAAAAUAGCGAGAUUUGGAGCAUACACAUUCAAGGUCCAAAACCAACAAUUAGCCUAGAAGAAAUGAAGACCAAAAUGCCCAAAAAGGGGCUAGCUGAUCGGCAAGGUCCAUGUAACCACCCAAAUGUAUCCAAAUUUGGUGAAUGUUCAUUCUAGGAGACUUAGGAGCAAACCACUUGGAGAUCACCAGUAGAAAUCUUAGUUUCCAUGACGUUUUGAAACUUCGUCAUUGAACAGACCACAUCUAUGAUGAAAAUCCCAAGUUCAUCUUAGAUCAUCGGUGGUAGCCCUUAGACAAUACGAAACUAUGACAAAAGCAAAACGAGCAUCAUAGAACAACAUCUCACAUCUUCACAAAAUGGUGCGCCAUCAACAUCUCCUAUUUGUGACGACUGUGACUCGUCAUAGAACCGGUGUGCCACAUGUAGAGGUUGGACCCAUAGGUCCACAUGUGAUGACAGAGGUACGAGUAAUUACAAGACAUAGUUUGAAAUAAACUUAACAGUGCAGGUUAGGCAGAGGUUCUAGGAUUUUAAACAUAAACGGUUCAGGUGGGAGAUGAGCAUUUAAGAUUUCUUCUAAGGGUAUUGUGAGACUCAUAACAAUACCCUAGUUUUUCGGGGCUUCCUCCUCGGUGGAUUCCUGCGGUGCCUCUGAAAAUAGCCACAAGGGAUAACCCUGAGUACGAGGUACUCAGCAAGGCUUACCCGACUAACCAAUAUAAUAGUUUUUCUUGGAACUAUAUGAUAGCUUUUUCAGUGUGCUUGGCUGACACAUUUUUGGCAAAAGAGCUUACUAAGAGUGAGACCUUAGCUUUGUCUUUUAUUUUGAUUAAGUUAUUAUCUAACCAUUCUAAAUGAUGACCAAAGAUUAAUUGCAAACAACAAGGUGUUAAGUCAUACACCAAAACAUUAGUGGAGAGAUAUAGCAUUCAUGAAUUUAUGCUACGAUACUCAACAGUGAUCAAGUGCAUUCAUAACCGAGAAUUGCGGCGAUCCGGAUCAAAUUACAUCCUGCAGGAGAGUACCCUGAUCACCAGCUAUAUACGACUGUCCAGGUCGUACGUAACGACUUUUCGAUUAGCAAAUCCAAUGAUUGGGAAUAAGACUACCCGAACCUAGGGACGCACCCCCACAUGGGACCCCACGUCUGGCCUGAUCACCUUGUGAGUUUCAGGCUACGCCCCUGCCAAUCUCCAGAACGUCAAGCGCGGGUACGAAGUAUUCCCGAUCAGAGGGUUUACUAACCUACUGGGCUUUACUGGUCCCAUACCCAGUAAGUGAUCAGAUGUCUUUCACUUGAUCAAAGGUUAAGACAACGGAUCGGGCCUUAACCAAAUUAAUCUAGCAGAAAGAACUACAUCCUUAGCUCUUGUCUGCUUCUUAUCUUCCAAGUUAUCUUUCCGUAACUAACAUGCCUGACUCAAUAUUUACCUUAAGGUUCGGUAACCAAUUAUUUAAGCAACUAAGCAUUUCUAGACUUGGGUUAUUUACUAAAUGUUUGAACAAGUGGCAAAGAUGUCCUUAAAACAAGGUAGGAUAAUGCACAAGAAUGGGUUUCAAGCAACUCCUGGACUUAGUGCAUACAUAUAGCAAAUAACCGAUAAUUGGACACAUGAAAUAUCGACUCUAAAAUAAUAGGUAUAAUUCAUCGGGGCUUGCCUUGUUCUAUAAAAAGGUUAGCACUAUCUGAAGGAUUGGCCUCGCAGGGAACCAACUCAAAGACCUCUUCAAACUCCGGAGAUCCUUCUGAAAAUUCCGAGAAAUCUCCUUCUGGUGCUUCGGUGUCUAUGACAAAGCAUAUGCAGGGGUUAGGAAUGCAACUUUUUUGAAUACAAGACUCUACAACUUUCCUUUAUGAUAAAGUUGCAAGCCAACAAGGACUAUAUAAUUUAUCAUGAUAAAGUUGCAAGCCAACACACAAAAACCCGAAAAGAUUAGCCCAACAAUUUUAUUUCCUUAACUAACCUUACUUAGGGCUUUUUCUUUUAUUUUUAGAAGAUAUUAUAAUUAUUGUCUAAUAUUGAAACCUAAUUUCCUAUGAGUUAACAAUAAUUUGUGAUUAUGAAAUGUUAUUCCAUAUUUUAUGUAUUUAUUAAGAUUAAGCAUUUAUUUAAUUACCUUAAAAGAAAGGCAUUAAAUAAAUACCCAAUUUUUUAUUAUUUUUCCUAGGGUAUAAAAAUUUUAAUGCAUAAAGGAAAAUAAAACAAUCCUAACAAAAUUGGUUUCACUAAUUUUGGACACCCCUAGAAAUUUCUGUGAUUUAAAUGGUGAGAUUCGGAUUUAAUCUAUUUAUUAUACAAAGGAAAUCUAACUUUUUCCCGAAAAACUCCCUGGCCUACUUUUCUCACACGCCGUAACUCUACCCCCUCUCUCUUACGCUGGGCCCGCGGCUUGGACCCACCUCCUUCUCCUAUUUAUCUUACCCACCGGCCUCUUAAACCUCUACUGGGCCUACUGGGCCAUUUUCUUUUUCUUUUUCUUUUCUCCAACCGGCGACGGCCCAACGGCCCACCUCUCCUCUUCCUUCUUUUCCACGAAGCCGGCCUGCUGGACCACCUGGGCCUCCGGCCUUUUCUUCGAACGGCCCUUCCCGCACCGGCACUUGGGCCGGCUGGACUCUAGGUCCACUUAAGCCAUCGCCCGACCUGCCUCCUCCCUCUCCUCUCCUCCCUGACGCACGGGCCCGCGGUACCAGAACCUUCUUCCUCCUCCCGCCAAAACCUGAGCGUAACAGGGGGCGGUGCGGCUCGCCGGCCGGCGCCCCACCGGCGACGGGGCUAGGCCGGGGAAGCAUCCCCAUGCCCUAGCGCACCCGUGCGCGGCGGUAACUCCCCAGGAGGUGGCCGGAGCCACUCCCUCCACGGCGGCGGGCGGCGGCGCCUACGGCCGGUCGUGGCUAAGCACGACGACGGCUCGUCCUACCCCGACAACUUCCUCUACGGCUUCCUAGUGCCCUAGACGUCUACCUAAAACUGACCACAAGGAACAACAGCGACAGCAAAGGGGUGCUCACCGUGAGCAGGAGGUGCGGCGGUGGAUGGAAACAAUGGCGAGUAUGGGUACUCCGGCAAGGAUGCUGGGCAACAAGUUGACCGGGGUGUAGCUGGGGUACCUGUGGAGGAGUAGGCGAGAGGAAUCGAUGGGAGGUGAGGUGUGGCAGUGGAAUUUGGUCGGCGGCAGUGGCUUGACAGAGAGGGCGGCGGCGGUAAAAGAACAGACGGUGAAAGUGGUGGCGGGAGCGGUAGAUAUACGAAAGACUUACCGCGCGCAUGGGCGACACCAUGGCGUAGUGCUAGGCUUGCGUGGUGAGGAGGUGGCGUAGUUGCUGUGCUGGCGGUCGACCGAGAACGCCGGCGGCGACACGUCGGGCUCGGCUCUAUCACCCCCCUUUCUUAUUUUUCUGAUGCCCGAAAUUCAGAUCCAAAUCACGGUCGAUUUUGAAUCCGACGGCUCCACGGUCCUUUAAGCAAUGUUGUAGAUAAACUUGAACUCUCCAAGUUUUAUUUUUGCUCUGACCUGAGAUAAACAUCCUAACAUAGUUGAAUUUUGAAUUCCUUUCCCCCUUUUAACUGAAUCACUCUGAACUUGAAGUUCAGUUCGUCAGUCCUUUGAGCAGAGUCACUUACCCGACUUUGAAAAGACUUUCAGUGGCCUAAUUCAAUUCUUUUUAAUCCAACUACUGACCAAUCAUACUCUACAACCUUCAGUGAUUCCAUUUUGCCCAUAAUCACCUAUGCUUCUUGCACCACAUUUUCCUGAAUUUGGCUCCAAACAUAGGCACUUACCACUGGUUUCAGACUUAGAAAAAUGACAACUUCAGUGUCUUGACCGAAAAUGGCAGAGUGCCAACUUUAGGCCUCAAUUUGAAUUUGUUUCCUUUGUGAUUCUUGAUCAACAACACCCAGGUAUUCUUGUCCAAGGUCCAUACUUCAGUAUUGUAUAGUUGUCUUGAUCCCUUUAUUUGAAAAAUUCGGCAGAAAUUAAUUUCCAAAAUGGACUCUGGUGCUGUUUUUCUGAAAUUCCUAUUGUCGGAUGGUGAAUAGUGCUUUUCUAUUUUGAUUUCUUCUUUUGGUUUUCUUGAAAUAUUUAGGUCCAGAUUUUGUCCCUAGUCUUAAUCUUCAAGUUCUAAACACCCUUAUCCUUCCAUUCCAUAUUUUUGCCAAAUUUUUCUGAAUUUCGAAUUCAAAAUUCAAAUUUCGGUCAAAUUUGACUCGAAUUUGAUUCUUAGCCAAUUUUCUUCUCCUUUUCUUCAUGAUUUGCUUCUAUUUCUUCAGAAUUACUUUGAUGACUAAAUAGCAGGUGUUACAGCCUCUCCCCCUUAAUAGAAUCUCGUCCUGAGAUUCCAGGGGUUAAAUUCUUGGGUUUGAAAAUGGAAAGGAAACUGCGUCAGGUCAAAUAUCUUUCUCUUUUCUGUACAAGGAAAGUGAAGUGGUGGCUUUUGUUCAUCUGCUCCUGAUAGUUCCAAAUAGCUCAGGAUAUUUAGACUCUAGGUCUUCAGCCUAUUCCCAGGUAGCUUCAUCUGGAGUAUGAUUUUUCCAUUGUACCUUGUAAAACGUAAUACUCCGAGUUCGGGUAUCUCUUGUCUUUUGAUCCAGAAUUUUAAUAGGCCUUUCUUCGUAGGUUAGGUCUGGUUCGAGCUCAAUUUCUGGAUCUUCUAAAAUCUCUUCUGGAACUCUUAAGCACUUCUUAAGCUGAGAUACAUGAAAUACAUCAUGUAUAGAAGUAAGUUGGUCUGGUAAUGAUAGCUUGUAUGCUACCGGACCCUUUCGUUCCAGAAUUUUGUAAGGACCAAUAUACCUUAGGGCUAAUUUACCCUUUAUCCCAAAACGUUGCACUCCUUUCAUCGGGGAUACCUUCAAGUAUACAAAAUCUCCAAUAUGAAAUUCCAAAAACCGUCUCCUUUUAUCUGAAUAACUCUUCUGUCGAGACUGGGCUAUUUCCAAAUGUUUACGAAUUUUCCGGACCUUUUCUUCAGUUUCCAUAACCAAAUCUGAUCCUAAAUGUGUCCUUUCUCCUACUUCCGACCAAUUCAAGGGGGUUCGGCAUCUUCGACCAUACAAGGCUUCGAAAGGUGUCAUUUUAAUACUAGCUUGAUAGCUAUUAUUAUAGGAGAACUCGGCUAGGGGCAAACAUUCGUCCCAUAGCUUAGGACACAUGCUCUUAACAUGUCUUCCAAGAUUUGGUUGACCCUUUCUGUCUGUCCUCCGGUUUGAGGAUGAUAGGCAGAGCUUCUGAUUAGAGUAGUGCCCAUAUCUUUUUGCAGUUGUUCCCAAAACCUAGAAAAAAACUGGUAGCCUCGAUCGGAGAUAAUUGUCUUUGGUACUCCGUGCAAAGAUAUGAUCCGGGCUAUAUAGAUUUUGGCAUAUGUCGACACUGGAUAUGUAGUCUUGACGGGGAUGAAAUGGGCUGACUUAGUAAGUUGGAAUCAUACCCUUUUGAAGUAGUAGGCAAUCCAACUAUGAAGUCCAUGGAAAUAUCUUCCCACUUCUAGACAGGGAUUUCCGAAGGUUGAAGAAAACCCGCUGACUUUUGUAGUAUUGGUUUAACUCUCCGGCAGGUAUCGCACUCGGCUACAUAUCUUGCAAUUUCAGGUUUCAUCCUGGCCUACCAGAAUCUUUGCUUUAAAUCUUGGUACAUUUUGUUGCUUCCGGGAUGGAUGGCGAGCUUAGAUAGAUGUGCUUCAUCUAAGAUCAAUUUUCUUAGGCUUUCAUUCUUAGGAACUACUAUCCUUUUCUUGAAAUAUAAUCCUCCAUCUUCUUCUUGAGUGAGUUCGGGAAUCUUUCCUUCUGUCCUUCGUUGAUAAAGCACCUUGAUCCAAGGAUCUUCUUUUUGGACUGUUAUGAUUCUUCCCUUUAAGGUGUCUUGCACAAUAAUGUUCUGGAGGGCACCUUGUUUUACUAUUUUCAAGCUUAAAUCUUCCAACUCUUCACAUAGGGUCUUAAGGUUAGACUGAAUAGUAGUACAGUGGCAUUGGGCCUUUCUGCUCAAAGCAUCAGCCACCACAUUAGCCUUACCAGGAUGAUAGUGGAUUUCUAGCUUAUAAUCUUUAAUUAGCUCCAACCACCGUCUCUGCCUCAUGUUCAAGUCCAUUUGAGUGAAAAUGUACUUUAAGCUCUUAUGGUCAGUAAAGAUACGACAUUCACUACCUAAAAGAUAGUGCUGCCAUAUCUUUAAUGCAUGGACUACAGCAGCAAGCUCUAAAUCAUGGGUAGGGUAAUGCUCUUCAUGACGCUUCAGUUGACGAGAAGCAUAAGCAAUAACUCUACCGUCUUGCAUAAGAACACACCCUAUCCCUGUCCCUGAGGCGUCACAGUACACGUAAAAGGGCUUCUCUAUAUCAGGUUGAGCUAGCACUGGGGCUGUAGUCAGUAGCUUCUUUAGGGUUUCAAACGAUUCUUCACAUUCGGGGUUCCACCCAAAUUUCACUUCUUUCUUUAACAACUCCGUGAUUGGUUUGGAAAUUUUUGAGAAGUUGGGGAUGAACCUACGGUAAUACCCGGCCAUUCCCAAGAAACUUCUUACUUCAUGUAUAGAGGUUGGUGAUUUCCAAUCCAAUAUGUCCUUGACUUUUCCGGGAUCUACUUCAAUUCCUUUUUCGGACAGUAUAUGCCUAAGGAAUGGAACUUUCUUUAACUAGAAUUCACAUUUGCUGAAAUUGGCAUAUAACUUGUGUUCCCAGAGUCUAUUUAGAACAAUACGCAGCUGUUGCACAUGUUCCUCUUCAUUUUUAGAAAAGACGAGGAUAUCAUCUAUAAAGACGACCACAAAUUUAUCUAAUUCUGGCAUGAACACCGAAUUCAUGAGGUACAUAAAAUGCGCUGGGGCAUUUGUCAGUCCAAAAGACAUAACCAAGUACUCAUACAAUCCAUAUCGGGUUGAGAAGGCUGUUUUAGGUAUGUCUUCGGGUUUUAUCUUAAUCUGAUGAUAUCCUGACCGAAGGUCAAUUUUUGAAAAGACCUUGGCUUCAGCUAGUUGAUCAAAUAACAAGUCAAUCCGUGGCAACGGAUACUUGUUUUUAAUGGUUACUGCAUUCAAAGGGCGGUAAUCCACACACAACCUUAAUGUGCCAUCUUUCUUUUUAACAAAUAGUGCAGGGCAGCCCCAUGGUGAAGUGCUAGGUCGGACAAAACCUUUAUCUAGCAAUUCUUGGAGUUGAACUUUUAAUUCUGCUAACUCCUUAGGUGGCAUCUGAUAUGGCCUUCUCGAGAUAGGAGCAAUGCCAGGUUCUAACUCAAUAGUAAAUUCUACCGCUCUAUCAGGCGGUAGUCCAGGAAGAUCUUCUGGAAACACAUCUACAAACUCAUUCACCACAGGAAUAGAUUCUAGAGUCACUGCUCUAGUCUUUUUGACCAUCUGGUCCAAACAGGGAUGAGCAGGUAAUUGGAGCUCAAAAGGAUGGCCUUGGUCAUCUCUCAUACUAACGACCCGGUUAUCCAUAUUGAUUUGAACUUUAUGUUCCUUCAUCCAAUUUACCCCCAAAAUAAUAUCUAUUCCUUGAUCUUCCAGAAUUAAAGGAUAAGCACCCACCUUAUUUCCUUCUAAAUUCAAAAUCACAUUGUGAGCUACCUGACUUGUAUUUUGAGUAGCUCCAGUAGCUUGAAUAACAUAUUUGACAUUUAAGGUGUGCACUUCUAGUUGGUGUUGCUUAACAAACUUUCUACUUAUAAAAGUAUGUGACGCACCCGAAUCAAAUAAAAUCAUGGCAGGAUAAUCAUUGACAAGGUACAUACCUACCAGAAUAGGCACACCUUUCAGAAUCUCCUCCACAUUCAUAUAAUGAGCCUGCCCCGUCUUGGUAUUCAGAAAUUUGCGACGAACAAACUUCUGUCCGGUGCCUUGACCAGAGGUUUGAGCCCUCAAAUUCGCGUUUCCCCCAGCUUUGGGAAAACGGCAGUCCCGGGCAAAGUGUCCCGGCUUCCCACAGUUAAAACAAACCUGUGGAUUCCCCAGAGGAGUAGGGCUGCGAAAUCCAAGAGGUGGCGCACUUCCAGGACGAGGAGCAUUAAUAGGAGUUUUGACAUUCCAGGGCUAAAAUGGCCUCUGCUGAAAAGAAGGCCGAUACGCGGGUCGAGGAGGACCUCGGUAUACUACCUUCAUCCUCUGCGGGGCAUUCCCGAAGGUUCCAAAAGGAAUAUUCUUCCUCUUCAAGGAUUCUUCUUUCUUUAAAGUUUCAUCUAAGAUUCUCAUAUUUUCUUCUGCAGUAAUGGCUGUGCUUACCGCAGAACUAUAAUCAGCAAAGGUGCAGGUAGACAACUUCUCCUGCAUUCGUGCAUUAAGCCCGCAAAGAUAACAGUCUCUUUUUCUGGACUCCGUGCAUACUGGGCCAAGUGAUCAAACUCAUUGGUGUAUUCCAGAAUGCUACGGGUCCCUUGCUGCAGCCCUAGGAAUUGCUCCAGCUUCAUUCGCAUAACACCUUCUGGCACAAACUGUGUUCGGAAGGCUUCCUUGAAGUUUUCCCAAGUAACUUCCCUUUCGAUCGGUUUCCUUGCCAAAUAACUGGUCCACCAGGUCCCAGCGGGACCUUGGAGUUGGAGUCCGGCAAACUCCGCCUUCUGGGUGGUAGUGCACUAGAGGAUCACCCGAAAUUUUUGCUCCAUCGUCUGAAGCCAUUCAUUAGCUUCUAGUGGGUGCUCAGCUCUUAGGAAUAUCGGAGGACGAGUUUCCAGAAACUGGGUGUAGGAUACACCACGUUCUGGGUCCCGUCGGUUUCCACCAUUGCCGGUGUUUUGCACAAUCAUCUGAAGCAGUCGAGCCUGUUCGGCUCCUGAAUUCAUGAGGCUGGCUAUGGCAUCAGCCAGCGUUGGGGCUCUAGGUAAGUUCUCCUCGUGGCCCCCUAACCCCGAAGCUCGAGGACCUCUCGGAUCCGUCAUGCUACCAAAAUCAAAUAGAGUAUUAAUAUCUAUGUUACAGUUUACUAACAGUUCCAUGUGCACGCUAGUAUUUCACACAUCACAGCAUGACUAUUGUAAUUACACACAAACCACACUUAUAUACAUGAUUAUUUAUAUUACAUGACUCGAAGUUACUUUUUACAAAACCACCAUACUACUCUGUCCACUACGUUUAUCUUACAUCAUAACAUCUCUUGGUUAAGAUCUUGCUUUAGCCGUCAUAGGGGUAGAUGCCUAGAUCUUCAGCAUUUAGUCCUAGCCGGGCUAUCGCAGCCUGCAGAACAUCCUGGUCCACCGUCAUCAAUGUCUGUCCCGGAGGAGUGACAGGUGGGGGCUGAUUUACUGAAUUCUCACUUUCCGACUCUGGCCCAGGGUCACUUGAAGUAUAGGAGGUAUAUGAUGCAGAGGUACUAACUCCAGAAUUCCCCUCCAUUUCUUCUAGGUCUUCUUCUUCUUCCCCGCCUUCCUGCUCGGCUUCACCCCACUGCUGCAUAGGUCCAUAGCCUUGUGGAUCUAACCCGUAUGCAUUGGCAUCGGCCCAGGCAAAGUGAUGGUUUUCCAUUGGAGCUUCACCCAAAUCAUCUCCCAUGUCGACAUCAAAACCUUCUAAAUUUUCGUGAGCGUAUAAAUCGAUCUCGGGAGCUGCAGGUGGAGCAAUAUCACCCUCCACUCCUACAACGUCCACCAACUGAUCUGCUUCUUCUGGGUUUGGCGGUUGGGGUUCUUCCGGUGGUGGAGGCGGUGGAACAUUGACUAUAUUCUGAGCAGGUACCUGAGCCUGCAUUUCCUCCAAAGCCAGACGAAGAGAUAAGAUUUCGUCCAGCUGCUGGAACCUUUCUACCUCGAGCCUGUUAACAUUAGAUUCAACUUCUUCUCUUGCCCUGUCUGCCAUAUUCCUACUGGCAUCCAUGAAUUCCUUCAUUGCCCUAAGCUUCUCUUCAUAUUCAUCUAUCCUUCUAGACUGUUCUCUCAUGAUCUUCUCCAUGUCAUGUUCCCUUGCUAAUGCUGCUUUCUUGUACAACUCUUUAUCAUGUUUGGCACCCAUCACCUCCAUCUUGACAUCUUCAUUUCUCUUCCUCUGAUUAUAAUAUUCCCUGAUGCAAGACUGAUGCAGGUUGUACAUGGCCGUCAUAUAGUCGGAGGCAGCAGCAACCAAAACAUCAUGCUCCACGCGAGACGAAUUCUUCAGGGCUUUAAUCCUUCUCUUCCAAAUUCCAUCAUCUUGAUGCUUUAUAGGAUAGAAUCGAGUAGAGAUUGACCCUAUUUCUACUUUGUGUUUCUCACAUAGGUCUGUGAGAGCGGUCAUAGCUGCCCUUUCAUUUGUAUCAUUAAACUCGAAGCCCGACUCCAUCACUUCAUCAAGACGCCAAUUGGGGUUGGUGUCUUCAUCCGGGAUAUGAACAUAAACAGUACAACACUGCUUAUGACACGUGUCCUCCUUCCUCCAAUAGUACUCCGGAGGAUUAUGGAAGCCUAACUCCUGCAGUAUUUUCCAUAACAGCUGCACAAACCCUGGCUUGUCCAGGUAAUGUCCUCGGGUCCAUCCGUCCUGGUCUGUGUAGCCUUCUUGGAACAUCCUAUAAAAGAAACGAGGUUACGUCUAACGGCACUCACCAAACCCAAAAGUUUUUAAAACAUGCUUAUGCAACAUGAUGCAACGACUCCUACAUACUCACAGACUCAUAUACACACUCGUAGAGAAAUUGGUGGCAUCGUAAUCUCUUCCUAAUAAUAUACUACCGAGUACUAGCGACACGUAGCAAACAGUUAGCAUCUGCAAAACAAACAACUGGUUAACACUACUGCCACCUGUGACUCACGUUUUCUUUAUUUAAAAUAGAGUCUCAGUGUUUAAAUGGUAAUAUCUGUUAAUUAUCCCAACCUAUGGCUCUGAUACCAGCUGUGGUGGAACCGUCCAACUUAAACUGCUUUAAAUGCGCCUAAUCGCUGCCGAUGCAGCAAUUAUCCGAGACGCACUUAAAACAGUAUAAGCCUGGUCGUCCAUCGAGUGUCCCUAGGACUCCUCGAAUGAUCCACGUCACGUCUUAUAGCCAUACAUCAGGAUUGUUUCUGCGAUGGGAAAGCAUCAACAAAUAUUACAUUUUUACAUACAUACAUGAGGUACGAGUUAUUACAAGACAUAGUUUGAAAUAAACUUAACAGUGCAGGUUAGGCAGAGGUUCUAGGAUUUUAAACAUAAACAGUUCAGGUGGGAGAUGAGCAUUUAAGAUUUCUUCUAAGGGUAUUGUGAGAUUCAUAACAAUACCCUAGUUUUUCGGGGCUUCCUCCUCGGUGGAUUCCUGCGGUGCCUCUGAAAAUAGCCACAAGGGAUAACCCUGAGUACGAGGUACUCAGCAAAGCUUACCCGACUAACCAAUAUAAUAGUUUUUCUUGGAACUAUAUGAUAGCUUUUUCAGUGUGCUUGGCUGACACAUUUUUGGCAAAAUAGCUUACUAAGAGUGAGACCUUAGCUUUGUCUUUUAUUUUGAUUAAGUUAUUAUCUAACCAUUCUAAAUGAUGACCAAAGAUUAAUUGCAAACAACAAGGUGUUAAGUCAUACACCAAAACAUUAGUGGAGAGAUAUAGCAUUCAUGAAUUUAUGCUACGAUACUCAACAGUGAUCAAGUGCAUUCAUAACCGAGAAUUGCGGCGAUCCGGAUCAAAUUACAUCCUGCAGGAGAGUACCCUGAUCACCAGCUAUAUACGACUGUCCAGGUCGUACGUAACGACUUUUCGAUUAGCAAAUCCAAUGAUUGGGAAUAAGACUACCCGAACCUAGGGACGCACCCCCACAUGGGACCCCACGUCUGGCCUGAUCACCUUGUGAGUUUCAGGCUACGCCCCUGCCAAUCUCCAGAACGUCAAGUGCGGGUACGAAGUAUUCCCGAUCAGAGGGUUUACUAACCUACUGGGCUUUACUGGUCCCAUACCCAGUAAGUGAUCAGAUGUCUUUCACUUGAUCAAAGGUUAAGACAACGAAUCAGGCCUUAACCAAAUUAAUCUAGCAGACAGAACUACAUCCUUAGCUUCUGUCCGCUUCUUAUCUUCCAAGUUAUCUUUCCGUAACUAACAUGCCUGACUCAAUAUUUACCUUAAGGUUCGGUAACCAAUUAUUUAAGCAACUAAGCAUUUCUAGACUUGGGUUAUUUACUAAAUGUUUGAACAAGUGGCAAAGAUGUCCUUAAAACAAGGUAGGAUAAUGCACAAGAAUGGGUUUCAAGCAACUCCUGGACUUAGUGCAUACAUAUAGCAAAUAACCGAUAAUUGGACACAUGAAAUAUCGACUCUAAAAUAAUAGGUAUAAUGCAUCGGGGCUUCCCUUGUUCUAUAAAAAAGUUAGCACUAUCUGAAGGAUUGGCCUCGAAGGGAACCAACUCAAAGACCUCUUCAAACUCCGGAGAUCCUUCUGAAAAUUCCGAGAAAUCUCCUUCUGGUGCUUCGGUGUCUAUGACAAAGCAUAUGCAGGGGUUAGGAAUGCCAACUUUUUUGAAUACAAGACUAUACAACUUUCCUUCAUGAUAAAGUUGCAAGCCAACAAGGACUAUAUAAUUUAUCAUGAUAAAGUUGCAAGCCAACACACAAAAACCCGAAAAGAUUAGCCCAACAAUUUUAUUUCCUUAACUAACCUUACUUAGGGCUUUUUCUUUUAUUUUUAGAAGAUAUUAUAAUUAUUUUCAAAUCUUGAAACCUAAUUUCCUAUGAGUUAACAAUAAUUUGUGAUUAUGAAAUGUUAUUCCAUAUUUUAUGUAUUUAUUAAGAUUAAGCAUUUAUUUAAUUACCUUAAAAGAAAGGCAUUAAAUAAAUACCCAAUUUUUUAUUAUUUUUCCUAGGGCGUGCCUCCGUGGCUCUGCCAGUCCUCAUCCUCGGGGGCUUGGAGCCUAUUUCAGGUUGGCGUGCCUCCGCGGCUCCGCCAGUCCUCAUCCUCGGGGGCUGGGCACCUAUUUCAGGUCAGCGUGCCUCCAAAACUCCGCCAGUCCUCACCCUCGAGGGUUGGGCGCCUAUUUUAGGAUGGCAUGCUUCCAUGGCUCUGCCAGUCCUCGUCCUCGGGGGCUAGGCACCUAUUUCAGGUUGGCGUGCCUCCGUGGCUCUGCCAGUCCUCAUCCUCGAGGGGCUGGACGCCUACUUCUGGUCAGCGCGCCUCUGUGGUUUUUCCUGUCGUCGUGUUUAGGCACUAGGAUCUGCUUCUCGGAUCAAUUUUUUCUUCUUUGACCAUUGGACCGAUUAUACUAAUUGCGUCAAUGCUCAAGGGCUACUCCUCUAGAGUGCGUCUUGUGACGCCCUCCAUUUCCUUCGCUUCAACCUACUAGAUGUCCGCCAUCCAUCAACUCGGCACUCUACUUCGCUCUGCGUGUUUGGCUCCAUGUUCGUUGGGAUUUUCUUCUUUUUUGAGCAUUGUGCAGCCUCUCCGUCACCAUGACGCCAUCAUAGCUUUAGUCAACUACAUUCCAAGCUUCGCUGUGAUGACCUCAAGUUCCUGUUUGCCUACACAUCGCUUGGGGGCUUGAGGGAUAUGGGUACCCCAUGGGUCCCCACUGACCAGGAUACUGGUCGGACUUGACAAGUAGGCCCGCCCGACCAAAACGUGCGGGCCAAGGAUUUGAAGAUACUUGGUGCACAAGUCAAUGAGGCUGGGAAAUUCAAAUCAGCCCGGAUAUUGCGGAUACGUAUUAUAAUCCAACUCAUAUCACCUUCCAUGUAACAACCGAGUAGAUUGGAUUCAAACCGACUUGUAACUCUAGGUCGUCAGUGUGGCGGAUCCGCUUCGGAUUUUCUUGAUUAGUCAUGAUUAAGCCGCCUAAUAUGCGACGCUCAUGCCUUAACCAAGUAAACACGAAGUGCCGUCGGAUUUCAUCCGAUUUAACCACUUGAACAGGACCGAAUAGCAAACCCACACGAAGGUGAGCGGUUCCAGAGAAUACAACAAGUCCACUGAGUUAACAAAUUAACCAUUUAGUUUGGCCAUAAAACAAUAUCAGAGUUUACAAGGUUCCGAAGAAAACAACAGAAGGUAAAACAGCGCACGGAAGCUACUUCGUCGGGGUCGGAUAUCCCUGGUGAGGCCAACCGGGACAUCAAUGAUCCCUCUCCUCGCCGUCCGAGGAGGGAUCCCACUCAACCGUCCAACUCGGAGGGAGUUGGAGCGGCCAAGUACCAGCAGAGAGAGGCUCAGAGGCAGCAACUUCACCUGAAAAAGAGGAGCCACAACAAGGCUGAGCUACUAAGCUCAACAAGACUGAACUGACAAGGAGUACGCUACUCCACCACUUCUAGACAUGCAAGGCCUUUUUUGCUGAGGGGUUUGUUUGCCAAAAGCGCUAGGUGUAUCCCUACUUUCAAGUUUUAGCUCAGGUUCUAAGUUCAUUAUCCGGUCUAAGUUUGCAACCUACUUCUAAACAGACAUAGAACCAACCAAGGUAUAUACAUCAUCAUCAAAACCAUGUCAUCAUCAGAUUCCUUUAUUACUCAGGGUGACAUAGCGAUCAAGCAGUCUCAAACUGUGAGAGGCAGAUGAAUUGAUUCGAGUUUCUUAACCAUGCAUGGCGAACCUAAUCUCACGACAUCCGCGCACCACAAGGGUCGCUUCCUAUGUUGGCCGUCCCCAUCAAUUCCCAGGCGCGUGUCAGGUCCAAACUUCCCUUGGCAUGCAAUGCUCCACAGUCCCGGUCUCUACCGUAUUGUGACCGCACUUGCACCCACAUGAUGCACCAUGGGAACCUCGUUCCAGGGACAGCAGGGGUAUAAGCCACGCCCUAGUUCAAUCAGGUACUAGGCUUCCCCAUCCCAUACUAGGUAUGAGAUUAGUACUUUCAAAUACUUGAUCACGAACACCACCACUGUCGGGCCUUAGCAAGUUUCAUAGACAGACGGGGCGAUCAACCGACCACCAAAGAGUUACCCAAAACCCUGCCCCAUCCAUCGUCCUUAUAGUUGUAACAGAAGGGAAACAACCAACUCCUACAGCUCGCGAGUGACAGGAAAUCACUCGGCUUUUACCGUUUCCUAAUUAAGCAAAGCAUCUACUCGGUCCAACAACUAGUGAUCAGAUCAAGGGAUCUAAGUCAUGCCUCUAUGGUUCCAAACAACUCCUAUACGUAAAUGCACAAGCAUGUUAAACAAGGCAUGCGCAAGUUUGGUAAAACAUAGGGGAUUCAUGCAUCCGGGGCUUGCCUUCGAGCAAGGAGGAGGGAAGCUGCUCGUCUGCUUGGGCGGCUUCAGCUUCUGGAGGCAGGAGCUCGGCUACACCUUCAUCUUCUGGCGCCGGGUGCAGCUCGUAGAAGCCGUCGGCGAGACGCAGCUCUACACGAAUGCAAUGCAUUGGUUAGCAUUUAGACGGUUAUUUUCAACAGCAACACUUGCAAGUUUGAGCCCAGAAACUUGCGGCAAGUUACAGGAGGGUGGGGAGGUUCGAUUGAGUUGGUGGAGAUCAAGAUAUAAGAGUCGGAUGGGGAGGAACUUAUGAUCUGACCCUUAAUCUAGAGGAAUAGAUGUGCUAGGGGUCCUCAGACGUAACGCUGAAAAGUCUCCAAGUUUUAUACAUACACCCUCGGUUCAAGGAAAAAGAUACAGCCAAGCCCUCGGGCGAGGCGGAGAAAGGUCGGCGGAACAAGACAGGGUCGGGCGAGACGGAACCGGGGUCGGGCGGAUAGGAGGGGUCGGACGAGGUGAACAGGGGUCGGUAGCUUACCUGCAUCUUACAGAUGAGGCUUGGGCGGAAAGACUAAGGCGUGGGACAGCGGUGAGGAUGUCCGGUGGUACUCCGGCGGCGGAGGUGCUUCUGGUGGAUCACAAGCAAGCUCUUGUGCAGCACAGGAAACAGUGGCUGGUGGAUUGGGGGAAGGUGGUGUUUGAGCAGAGAGGAGGGUUCCUCAGACUUAGGUGGUGGCGCUGUGAGCACGAACAGGGAGCAAACGAGAGGGCAGCGAUGGCAAGGGGAACUCCGGCGGGGCUCCGGCAUUCCAUUUUAUAGCUGCGCGGAAGAGGGAAGGGGGAGCGGCACGAACGCCGGGGAAGAGCGAUGGAGUGCUCUACCUUCGCGAUGAUUGAGUGACGAGGGCGGUGGAGCAGGACUUCGGGGACGACACCGGCGGUCAUUGGGCACCGAUGUCAGGGCGGCGCAGGCGCGGGUUUGCCGGUGGUUGAGAUUUGGCAGAGGUGAGCGUCGUCGUGCGGUGGAUCUGAUGGAAGUGUCGGGGAAACGGCGCUAGAAAUGAGGGCGCACAGGUGAGAAGACAGGCGGCUGCGGUCGCGCGGGCGAGCGUGGAGCAACAGAUUGUCGGGGCGGAGCUUCUGACAAGGCGGAAAAGGAGCUGUCGCUGCCGCGGUCUGGGUUGGCGGAGGAGGAAUCGUCGCGUAGCGAGGACCGGGGCGGCGCGACUGUGGAGGGUGACGAAAAAGACGGGCGGCAUCGGGCUCUGCAGCCGGGAUCUGGUGAUGUGAUGAUGGGUGCGGGAGGCGAGGUGCUGCAGAAAGGGUGGCAAAGGAGCUUCCGCCGCGAUUGGGGAAGGGGGCGCAAGAAUCCAUCCGGUCGUGGCCGGCGACGAGGCGGAGCGGCGGGCGUCGGAGGAGUUGAGCCACGCGGCUAGGGAACUCUGAAGCGGGCAUGCAACUCGAGUGCGCCUGUCGCGGGAGAUCUGGGAGAAAGAUCUCGUGGGUCCACCGGUCAGCUUCGGUGGUCCACGGCUCAGAUUGAAGGGAGGCGUUGUGGGAAGACUUCGAAAGAUCCGGCAGUGGGUUGGGGGUCGGCGGGGUCGGAACUGGGGGAAACACGGCGAGGGGUCGGAUCGCAGGGGGUCGGGAGAUCUGGAGGUUGAGCACUUAGGCUUGGUAAACUGAGGCAGGUGAUCAGGCACUCGGAUUAAGAUUAACGCGAAGGAUUUUAAUCGAGGUCGUUACAGCCUACCCCCCUUAAGAAGAAUCUCGUCCCGAGAUUCGGAUGUAGAAGCAACUGGUGGGGGUGUGUAGCCCUUACCUCCAUGGCUGGAAAGAAAACCUGGGAAGUGCUUGUUCAAGUACUCUUCUGUUUCCCACGUUGCUUCAUCCUCCAUGUGGUUUCUCUAGAGGAUCUUGUACAUUUUGACCACUUGGCGUCGGGUGCGCCUCUCUUUCUGGUCAAGGACCUUGGCCGGGUACUCUGCAUAGGUUAGGUCAGGCUCGAUUUGAAGUUGCUCCUGUUCUAAGAUCUCGGUUAGGACCUGGACACAUCUCUUCAGUUGAGACACAUGGAAAACAUCGUGUAUGGCCGAGAGCUGUUCUGAGAGUUGGAUCCGAUAGGCAAUGGGUCCACAAAUUUCCACAAUCUCAUAUGGGCCAAUGUAACGGGGAGCCAAUUUCCCUUUCACUCCAAACCGUUGCACUCCUUUGGUUGGGGAAACUCGAAGAUACACAUGAUCACCAAUGUCAAACUGCAGGGGCCUUCUUCUUCUAUUGGAGUAACUCUUCUGUCGGGAUUGGGCAGCCUUGAGAUUUACCUGAAUUACCUUCACUUGCUCUUCGGCUUCUACCACUAAGUCAGGGCCAUAAACUUGUCUCUCUCCCGCUUGGGACCAUUUCAAUGGUGUCCGGCAUCUUUGUCCAUACAAGGCUUCAAACGGUGGCAUCUUCAAACUGGCUUGGUAGCUAUUGUUGUAGGAGAACUCCGCCAAUGGCAGGCACUUGUCCCAAUUUUUGUCAUAGUGGAUGACACAAGCUCUCAACAUGUCUUCAAGGAUCUGAUUGACUCUUUCGGUUUGACCAUCGGUUUGAGGAUGAUAGGUUGAGCUACGAAUGAGUUUGGUGUCCAUGGAUGCUUGCAGCUGUUCCCAAAAGCGUGCUACAAACUGAACUCCUCAAUCAGAGAUGAUGGUCUUAGGCACACUGUGUAGGGAAACUAUGCGGUCGAGGUACAGCUCUGCAUACUGCUUGACCGUGUGGGUGGUGUGGACAGGAAGGAAGUGGGCGGUCUUGGUCAGACGGUCCACGAUAACCCAAAUGGAAUCAUGUCGCUGCGACGAAAGGGGCAGUCCAACAAUGAAAUCCAUGCUGAUAUCUUCCCAUUUCCAAGAGGGAAUAGGUAGGGGCUGUAGAGUACCUGCUACCUUUAGAUGACUGGCCUUGACGUGUUGGCAGGUGUCACACUUUGAAACAUACCGGGCAAUUUCCGGCUUCAUUCCGCUCCACCAGAAAGUUUGACGGAGAUCAUGAUACAUCUUAUUGCUGCCUGGGUGGAUUGAGAACUUGGAGAGAUGAGCUUCAUCUAGGAUCUGCUUCCUCAAGUUGGGGUCGGCUGGUACAACCAGUCGGUUUCCAUAAUACACUUUUUCAGUUUCAUCCUGUCGAAACUGCUUAUAUCCUUCCUCCUUCAAGGAAAUCUUCCUGGUGAUCCGCCUUACUUCCUCAUCCUCCACUUGUGCUGACCUUAUUUGGUCUUCCAAAACAGACUCAAGGGCGAUGUGGCCGAGGGUUCCAUGGGAAACAAUUUCCAAACUGAGUUUUCCCAUCUCAUGACACAAAGUUUCGGUGAAGGUUGUUGCCAACAAGCAGUUGCAACAGGGCUUGCGGCUAAGAGCAUCGACCACCACAUUGGCCUUGCCAAGAUGAUAGUGCACUUCCAAAUCAUAGUCUUUUAUCAACUCCAACCAUCUUCUUUGGCACAUGUUGAGGUCGGCUUGGGUGAAGAUAUACUCGAGGCUCUUGUGGUCGGUGUAGAUGUUGCAGCGGGUGCCCAUCAGAUAAUGUCUCCAUAUCCUUAAGGCAUGGAUCACUGCUGCCAACUCAAGAUCAUGGGUUGGGUAGUUCAGCUCAUGAGGUCGUAACGCCCGUGAGGCAUAGGCAAUGACUCGGUUGUCUUGCAUAAGAACACACCCAAGUCCAGUGCCAGAGGCGUCACAGUACACGUCAAACGACCUAGAGGGGUCGGGUUGAGCCAAAACUGGGGCUGUGGUCAGUAAGCGCUUUAAGGUUUUGAAGGCUUCUUCACAUUUGUCGUUCCACACAAAUCUGACCUCUUCCUUCAGCAACUCUGUCAUCGGCUUAGCUAUCUUGGAGAAGUCCGGCAUGAAACGCCGAUAGUAGCCUGCCAGUCCAAGGAAACUUCGGAUCUGGUGCACUGAGGCAGGAGGCUUCCAGUCCAUGACUUCCUGUACCUUGCUGGGGUCAACGGCUAUGCCAUCCUUAGAGAUAGUGUGUCCCAAAAACUUGACACUAUCUAACCAGAAUUCACACUUGGAGAACUUGGCAUAGAGCUGAUGAUCUCUCAGCCGUUGGAGAACUACGCGAAGAUGGUUGGCAUGUUCUUCUUCGCUCUUCGAGUACACCAGGAUAUCAUCAAUGAACACCACUACAAACUUGUCCAACUCGGGCAUGAACACCGAGUUCAUGAGGUACAUGAAGUAUGCGGGUGCAUUGGUGAGUCCAAAAGACAUGACCAGGUACUCGUAGAGUCCAUAUCUUGUGGAGAAGGCAGUCUUAGGGAUGUCACAUGGUCGGAUCUUGAUUUGGUGAUAACCUGAACGAACAUCGAUCUUGGAGAACACUCUAGCUCCAGCUAACUGAUCGAACAGGAUAUCAAUGCGGGGGAGUGGGUGCUUGUUUUUGAUAGUCACCGCAUUGAGAGGUCGGUAGUCUACACACAUGCGUAGACUGCCAUCCUUCUUCUUCACAAACAGGGCCGGGCAACCCCAGGGUGAUGCACUGGGUUGGAUGAAACUUUUUUCCAACAGAUCAUGCAACUGGGUCUUCAACUCGGCCAGCUCAGCUGGUGGCAUCCGAUAGGGUCUUUUGGAGAUAGGGGCGGUGCCGGGGAUCAACUCUAUGGCAAACUCCACGUCUCUAUCGGGCGGCAUGCCGGGGAAGUCCUCUGGGAACACAUCCGGGUACUCAGAGACAACAGGGAGGCUUUCUAGCCGGGCUUGCGAUAGAGGGUACGCACAGGGAAGUGCGGACUUAGGAUGUUUCAAGAACAGGGUAGAACUGCCAUGAAAGGGCGAGUUGAUGUGGAGGGUUCGGGCAGCUGGGUCUAGAACCACUUGGUGUCUGGUCAUCCAGUCCAUUCCAAGGAUGAUAUCUAUUCCUUCCAGGUCAAGGAUGAUAAGAUUUUCCUUAAAAAGGUUUUGGCCCAGCUGAAUAGGUGCAUUUGACACUCAUCCUAUCAGAUGUGAUUAUUCCACCCGGGGUGGAUAUUCUAAAAGACCCUCUGGUUUGGCAUUCUUGUAACCCACACUUGUCACGGGUCUUUCUCCCAAUAAAACUAUGGGAAGCUCCUGAGUCAAACAAAACCAAAGCUGAAAAACUGUGAAUCAGAAAGGUACCCGUCAUUAUCGGCACACCUUCAGGAAGCUCUGCUGCGUGGGUGAAGUUCAGUCGACCCUGGCGAACUUGCACCUUGGGCCUUUUCCCUUUGUUGAGCGUUGCAUUGCUUUGCCUGGGGCGCGGGCUCUGAUUUCUGGGACAGUCCUUGGCGAAAUGCCCCACAUCGCUGCAGGCAAAAUAGCGGUUACCCGUUGCAGGGCGUGGGGGUGGCGGCAGGGUUGGCUGGGGCACCUGUGGUUGGAAACCAAGAAAACGGGGCGCUGCUGCUGGCGGGGGUCGGGCAAUCCACCUUCCCAACUGCUGGGGUCGGUUGGGCACCUGGGGUGGAACCAUUCUGAAACGCUGCGCAGGUGGGCUGGGCGUUGGCAGUGGGGCUUUCCUCUUCCUCUCGGCUGCCAGAGCCUUCAUGCAGUCCUCUUGUGAGAUGGCCAGGUUAACCAACUCAUUGUACGUAUCCACCCUUAUCGGGUUUAACCUUUCUCUGAGCUCCAAGCUCAGCCCUCUGCGGAAUCUGUUCCGCUUCUUCUCGUCGGUGUCCGCGUGAUAUCCGGCAUAACGACACAGAUCGUUGAAGGCUUGAGCGUAGUGUAACACAUCUCGGUUUCCCUGGGUAAGAGCUAGGAAUUCAUUGAGCUUGCGCUCCAGGAGACCGUCCAGAAUGUGGUGUGCUCUGAACGCUGUCUUGAACUCGUUCCAGCUGACGAUAUGGUCGGCUGGCAACAUGGCGUGGUAGUGAUCCCACCAUAGCCGGGUGGAACCACGUAGCUGCUGAGCUGCAAACCGGGCGUUAUUGUGGUCGGGGCACUGAGCGGUGAGAAGCUCGAACUUGGAUUCGAUGGUGCGAACCUAGGCGUCUGCAUCGAGCGGGUCUUGGGUCUUCUGGAACAGUGGGGGCUGCGUCCCCAAGAAGUCUUUAUAACGAGCAACAUGAGGUUGCUGCUGAGCCCUUCCACCAUGGGGUUGCUACUAUUGUUGCCCUUGUACCAGAUGUCUCAGCAGCUCGGUUUGAGCCGCUAAGAUUGCCUCUAGUGGAGACGAGGGUGGGGGUGGGGGAAGAUCCUGUCUUUGCUCGCUGCUGCUGGGCACAGAACCAGAUCUGGUGCGAUGCGCCAUCUGCAAGAGUUAAUGUUCCAUUAAAUUCAUAACCUUAGAAGUAUUCCAACAGAUGGGAACGCACAUGCUAACUCCUCAAUACGACUCGGGCCACAAGGCAACCCAACACAGCUUUAUAAAGGAGACACACACUUCUUCUUGCCAUUCUAGUUAGCAGCCAUUUCAGCUCUGCACAUGACUUUGGGCGAACCCUAACCAGAUUCUAGGGGUCCCAUUAUGUCUGACCUUAGACCAAGGGGUCGGGCUAGGCGAACAACUCAAGAAAACGGGACCGGCCAAAACGAACCACAAAAAGGGGUCGGAAGAGGCGGAGAACUGCCUCGAGGGGUCAGGCGCAUCCAAUCUCGUGACCCGGGGUCGGCCAAACUUGGACAGACCCACAGAAAAUGGCGUGUGUGGUCACAGCACAACUCACAUGGUCUGACAUUCCAACGUUCUGCAAAGAGUCAAAGGUCAAACUCAGGAUCUGAUUUCACUGGGAUCUUUUUACAAAGGUGUUCUGAAACACAAGGAGUACUCAACUCAAGGCUAACCUAUUACAGGACUAUCCAAAUUUUAGGCUGCCGAGGAGUACAACAAAAGAAUGGGUUCCCUACAACUCUCCAUCUACGAGGGAACACUGUGAGUUGGAGAAGGGGUGUCGUCCUCUUCAAUGUCCAUGCUGGACGCUUCCUCAACCUCCUCAGGGUCUUCCUGAGCUUCUAGCUGCAUCUGGAGGGCAUGCAUGUCAUCGAGCUCGGCGUGAUGCUCGUCUAGAUGAGCAUUAGCAACUGCCAGCUCCAUUUCUACUUCCAUCUUUUCCUCUGACAGCUCGAUCAUGCCGUCCACCAAGUCGGCUACUUCUCCCUCAAGCUCAGAGAUUCGGUCCUGCAUGUCGUGGAUUUGAAUGCCUCGUUGGAUGAGCUGAUAUGUUUGGCCCACCAUGUCUCUUCUGGCGGCCUGGAGGUGUCCUUGGGUAUCCGCGGCGAUCCGAGCAAGGAUAGCCAUGGCUCGUCCUUGGAGCUCAAUCAGCCGAUAUAGGGCUGACAUUCACCAGAUAUUGGUGGAGAUAGUGACCAUUGAGUAGGAGGUGGCCAGCACCUCGAUGUUGCUGACGCGGUCGAGCCACGCCGGGUCCAACCGGUUCCUGGCAGGGAACAGGCCGAUGGGGUCUAGGGUGACCUCCAGCGGGUGUAGCUGACAGAAUUGAGUGAGGAGCUGUAGAGCAGCUGACUCCCAAGUAUCUUCCAGUGUGUGGCCGUAUGCUGAGAUUCCAAACUGGGGCCAGUCGGGCCGCGCAGGAGGGGGAGGUACUACUGCCUGCACGUUGCAUCUUUGGAUGCCUCGCUCUAGGUACAACCGUCCCGCAUACAAAGGUGGAGACUGGUACCCGAACCACUUCAAGGUGUCCCACAAGAUAGCGGGAAAACCCUCGAAGUGCAGACACGUCGAAUGGGAGGUGCCAUCUGCGCCAUACAGGACAUGUCCGGGGGCGGCCAUCUGGAACCAAGAACCAAAACAACAUGAGAUGAACUCUAAAGGCCAGGGGUCGAACAGAAAAAGCAUCCGGAUUUUAACCGAGAACAAGCUGGAAGAAACUAGAAAUCCUUAAAACCAAAGAAGAGCUUUUCCGAGCAAGGUUGCUUUUGAGGCGGGUAACUUUACAGAUUCUUAGCUUAUGUCGCAUGCACGGCCUACCACGUUCUUAACCAAAACAACUGCCAAAACUUGAUCUUACGCGGUUAGUGCCGGUGGCAAGGCAACCAGUACGUCUCUCCCUAUAAUAACUAGUCGGUUAUAUCACGUUUCCUAAGCGAUCGCGGUUAGUGCACCUGCAGAAAACACAACCACAUGAACCUUUCGUGCCAGCACCCACGAAAGCAUUCUCAAACAUUACCGUUCACUAUAGGAACGGCACCCAUGCGUUCAAGUCUGCAUGGACAACACUCAACCGUGGAAUGGAAUGGAACCGUAUAACCCCUCGCAUACUCGUGAUGCGGAAUCAGCGCACGUAUAAUAGACGUGGCGAACAACCGUGAUGAUAGGCUCGUUGGAAUCGAACCAUAAAAACCUUCGUAUGAAUUAACAUACGGAACCUGUGCACGUAUGAUAAACGUGGGCGAAACAACCGCGAUGAUAGGGUCCUUCGAAUAGAACUCCCUAUCAACCCUCGCAUACUCGUGAUGCGGAACUCGGCACACGUAUGAUAAACGUGGCGAAGUGCUGGAGGGGUUAGCAAGAUAACCAAUUAGAUAUUAGCCACCUAAAAACAACCACAAAAUCCCCUAGGGACUCUCGUACUAAAGUCAUCCUUAACGAUCGUACGAGAUUUUUCAAAGAGUUGCUUGCAACUUUUAUCUUUUAAAGAAGUGAUUAGGGCCUAUUGUGUUCUCUAUCUUGCUAAACCGGCUCUGAUACCAGCUGUGGUGGAUCCGCUUUGGAUUUACUUGAUUAGUCAUGAUUAAGCCGCCUGAUAUGCGACGCUCAUGCCUUAACCAAGUAAACACGAAGUGCCGUCGGAUUUCAUCCGAUUUAACCACUUGACCAGGACUAAAUAGCAAACCCACACGAAGGUGAGCGGUUCCAGAGAAUACAACAAGUCCACUGAGUUAACAAAUUAACCGUUUAGUUUGGCCAUAAAACAAUAUCAGAGUUUACAAGGUUCCGAAGAAAACAACAGAAGGUAAAACAACGCGCGGAAGCUACUUCGUCGGGGUCGGAUAUCCCUGGUGAGGCCAACCGGGAUAUCAAUGAUCCCUCUUCUCGCCGUCCGAGGAGGGAUCCCACUCAACCGUCCAACCCGGAGGGAGUUGGGGCGGCCAAGUGCCAGCAGAGGGAGGCUCAGAGGCAGCAACUUCACCUAAAAAAGAGGAGCCACAACAAGGCUGAGCUACUAAGCUCAACAAGACUUAACCGACAGGGAGUACGCUACUCCACCACUUCUAGACAUGCAAGGCCUUUUUUGCUGAGGGGAUUGUUUGCCAAAAGCGCUAGGUGUAUCCUUACUUUCAAGUUUUAGCUCAGGUUCUAAGUUCAUUAUCCGGUCUAAGUUUGCAACCUACUUCUAAACAGACAUAGAACCAACCAAGGUAUAUACAUCAUCAUCAAGACCAUAUCAUCAUCAGAUUCCUUUAUUACUCAGGGUGACAUAGCGAUCGAGCAGUCUUAAACUGUGAGAGGCAGACGAAUCGAUUCGAGUUUCUUAACCAUGCAUGGCGAACCUAAUCUCACGACAUCCGCGCACCACAAGGGUCGCUUCCUGUGUCGGCCGUCCCCAUCAAUUCCCAAGCGCGUGUCAGGUCCAAACUUCCCUUGGCAUGCAAUGCUCCACAGUCCCGGUCUCUACCGUAGUGUGACCGCACUUGCACCCACAUGAUGCACCAUGGGAACCUCGUUCCAGGGACAGCAGGGGUAUAAGCCACGCCCUAGUUCAAUCAGGUACUAGGCUUCCCCAUCCCAUACUAGGUAUGAGAUUAGUACUUUCAAACACUUGAUCACGAACACCACCACUGUCGGGCCUUAGCAAGUUUCAUAGACAGACGAGGUGAUCAACCGACCACCAAAGAGUUACUCAAAACCGUGCCCCGUCCAUCAUCCUUAUAGUUGUAACAGAAGGGAAACAACCAACUCCUACAGCUCGCGAGUGACAGGAAAUCACUCGGCUUUUACCGUUUCCUAAUUAAGCAAAGCAUCUACUCGGUCCAACAACUAGUGAUCAGAUCAAGGGAUCUAAGUCAUGCCUCUAUGGUUCCAAACAACUCCUAUACGUAAAUGCACAAGCAUGUUAAAUAAGGCAUGCGCAAGUUUGGUAAAACAUAGGGGAUUCAUGCAUCCGGGGCUUGCCUUCGAGCAAGGAGGAGGGAAGCUGCUCGUCUGCUUGGGCGGCUUCGGCUUCUGGAGGCAGGAGCUCGGCUACACCUUCGUCUUCUGGCGCCGGGUGCAGCUCGUAGAAGCCGUCGGCGAGACGCAACUCUACACGAAUGCAAUGCAUUGGUUAGCAUUUAGACGGUUAUUUUCAACAGCAACACUUGCAAGUUUGAGCCCAGAAACUUGCGGCAAGUUACAGGAGGGUGGGGAGGUUCGAUUGAGUUGGUGGAGAUCAAGAUAUAAGGGUUGGAUGGGGAGGAACUUAUGAUCUGACCCUUAAUCUAGAGGAAUAGAUGUGCUAGGGGUCCUCAGACGUAACGUUGAAAAGUCUCCAAGUUUUAUACAUACACCCUCGGUUCAAGGAAAAAGAUACAGCCGAGCCCUCGGGCGAGGCGGAGAAAGGUCGGCGGAACAGACAGGGUCGGGCGAGACGGAACCGGGGUCGGGCAGAUAGGAGGGGUCGGACGAGGCGAACAGGGGUCGGUAGCUUACCUUCGUCUUACAGAUGAGGCUUGGGCGGAAAGACUAAGGCGUGGGACAGCGGUGAGGAUGUCCGGUGGUACUCCGGCGGCGGAGGUGCUUCUGGUGGAUCACAAGCAAGCUCUUGUGCAGCACGGGAAACAGUGGCUGGUGGAUUGGGGGAAGGUGGUGUUUGAGCAGAGAGGAGGGUUCCUCAGACUUAGGCGGUGGCGCUGUGAGCACGAACAGGGAGCAAACGGGAGGGCAGCGAUGGCAAGGGGAACUCCGGCGGGGCUCCGGCAUUCCAUUUUAUAAAUGCGCGGAAGAGGGAAGGGGGAGCGGCGCGAAGGCCGGGGAAGAGCGAUGGAGUGCUCUGCCGGGGCGACGAGGGCGGUGGAGCAGGACUUCGGGGACGACACCAACGGUCAUUGGGCACCGAUGGCAGGGCGGUGCAGGCGCGGGUUUGCCGGUGGUUGAGAUUUGGCGGAGGUGGGCGUCGUCGUGCGGUGGAUCUGAUGGAAGUGACCGUGGAAACGGCGCUAGAAACGAGGGUGCACAGGUGAGAAGACAGGCGGCUGCGGUCGCGCGGGCGAGCGUAGAGCAACAGAUUGUCGGGGCGGAGCUUCUGACAAGGUGGAAAAGGAGCUGUCGCUGCCGCGGUCUGGGUUGGCGGAAGAGGAAUCGUCGCGUAGCGAGGACCGGGCGGCGCGACUGUGGAGGGGUGACGGAAAAUACGGGCGGCAUCGGGCUCUGCAGCCGGGAUCUGGCGAUGUGAUGAUGGGCGCGGGCGGCGAGGUGCUGCAGAAAGGGUGGCAGAGGAGCUUCCGCCGCGAUUGGGGAAGGGGGCGUGAGAAUCCAUCCGGUCGUGGCCGGCGACGAGGCGGAGCGGCGGGCGUCGGAGGAGUUGAGCCACACGGCUAGGGAACUCUGAAGCGGGCAUGCAAGUCGAGUGCGCCUGUCGCGGGAGAUCUGGGAGAAAGAUCUCGUGGGUCCACCGGUCAGCUUCGGUGGUCCACGGCUCAGAUUGAAGGGAGGCGUUGUGGGAAGACUUCGAAAGAUCCGGCGAUGGGUUGGGGAUCGGCGGGGUCGGAACUGGGGGAAACACGGCGAGGGGUCGGAUCGCAGGGGGUCGGGAGAUCUGGAGGUUGAGCACUUAGGCUUGGUAAACUGAGGCAGGUGAUCAGGGACUCGGAUUAAGAUUAACGUGAAGAAUUUUAAUCGAGGUCGUUACAGUCAGCCUAUAUAAGGCGGUCAAGGGAGCCUCCUAAGGGCGACCCAACAAAUCCCACAUCAAUUCUCGAGCAAUACAAACCACCAGAAUACAGGACGUAGGGUAUUACUCUCUAGAGGCCCGAACCUAUCUAAAACCCUCAUGUCUCUUGUGUUCUCGCGAUCACCUUCGAGUUCUUAGUUUCACAAUCGCCUCCACCUACAAAUCAACCACUUGGGUAACCCUCUGGUGGACUACCGGGCUUAUAAAUCCGACAAAAAAUUUAGAAUAUUUUGAACAAAUUUAGAUAUUAUUACAAUUACCCUAUGGUAAUUUGGAGAUUAAUGGUGUUAUUAUCCCAAACAAAUAAUUGAAUUCUUCAUCUAUCUUUAGGACAUGGCCUACAAUGGUACAUAUGAGCCUAAAUAUAAAUUUUCUCAUAUUUUUUUAAUCUUAUAAGGGGUCCAUGUAGUUAAAUUUUGAGCCUAAAUAAGCAAUAAAAAUAGUUAAUGAUUUGGUUAAAUGAGCCAAAAAAUCCAUGGGCCGUUUUCUGCUAAGACCCGACUCAUCCUGACCGUCCAUCUCUGAGCCAACGAUUCAUAUCGAUACUAAAAUGGAUAAAAGAGCCAGCCAGUAGAAACCCUAGCUCUUUAUCUCAUUCACCUCCUCAGAUUGGCCGCCUCCUCCCUUCCCAUUCACCUCUCUCUUCCUCUCUGUUUCCUCCUCAAAUCUGUCGCCGCUCACCUCGCCUCACCCCGCCACCACCAGCAUGUGCCCCUCGCACUUCCCCUUCAUCGGCCACCCAUGGAGGCAAUCUCUUUGGCAGUGGCGUUGCCAUCUGUGCAAAUCUCCUAGCACCUCCCAUCCAAUUCACCUCUCUCCCCAUCUCCUCCUCAGAUCCAACGCCACCCUCAUCGCCUCCCCCGCAACAAGGACGAGCGCCCUGGUGGGGCUAGGUCGCAGUUUUUCCAUCCGUACUCUCCCGUCCUCCACUAGAAACCCCACCAUGGCCCAUCAGGGGGGAGGGGGAGGCAUCGCUCGGCACGGCGAGGCACUUCCCACGACGCGGGGAAGCAGCAACCCGACGCCCGAGGCCUCCAUGGAUGGUGGUGUCCCAUUCUCGACGACGCACGCAUCGGCGAGACCCUCCAGCAGUUUGUCCCCGUGCAGAUCGACGAGGAAGAGGUCCUCCCAUGGCCUCCUCUCAUGCGGAUCAACGACACCAUGGCCCAUCUGUAGUCGGCGAUGCCUCUUCCCCAAGCAGAUCGAUGAUGACGAGGUCUGCCUGCAGUCGGGAGAAAUUUGGACUUUAACCAUCCCAAACAAUGGGCUUCGCAAAAUUACUAUCGUAAACAUGGGCUUCGCAAAAUCACCAUCUAAAUCACUGACAACUCGUUUUCCUUACCAUUUUCCUCAUUUUAGUGAUUUCUUUUUCAUUUUAUAUUUUCUGGGCACCUAAACUGACGAAUCUACCCUUGCCUCAUCUGGUUUGAUCGAUUGAAUCAAAAUCAAAUCCCGUCAGUUCCGGCACCACGCAUGGGAGUUAGGAAUUCACCCAACAUGGGAGCUAAAGAACUGUAGAAAAAGUUGCAGGAUGAAUACUAACAAUUUCAUAUGACACAGUCUGGAAGGGAGAGAGAAAAAGCUCUCGCCGAGAUUUAUAGUAAAUGGGAAGAGAGUUUGAGAUGCUAUACAGAUGGUUUUCACUUGGAAGUGUUGUGGAGAUUGAAGUUCUGGAAAUAGAUGGCAAUGUGUAUUUUUAUCGUUUUUCUGUGCACUUAAACCAUGCAUCUAUGGUUAUUUGGAAGGAUGUGGGCCAUAUCUGGGUAUAGAUUCUACUGCCCUGAAUGGAAGAUGGAAUGGUCAUUUAGCCUCGGCUACAACAGUUAAUGGUCACAAUUGGAUGUAUUCACUAGCUUAUGGGUUCAUUGUUUCUAACAUAGAAGACAAUUGGCUAGGAGGACGGGCAGGGGUGACGGGUGCAGAGAAGUAUGUGAUCCUUAGGGGAUUGAUCCAAUCCCCACAAGUUAUGCAUAUGUGCAAAUUGGUCCUUUUCCAUGCUUGCAAAUGGAAAAGUAAAUUAAAAAUGAAUAAAAGGGAGAAAAUGGUAAGGAAAACGAGUUGUGAACGAUUUAGAUGGUGAUUUUGCGAAACCCAUAUUUACUAUGGUAAUUUUGCGAAGCACAUCGCUUGGGACGGGAAAAAUCCAAAUUUCUCUGCAGUCGGCGAUGCAUCCAUCCCAGAUCGACCGUGACGAGGUCUGCUCGUGGGUUGGCAUCCUCCCCACGCAGAUCGAAGAUGGUGAGGUCCACCUGCGGCUGGUGAGGGCUCUUCUCCACGCGGUCGACGAUUCGGAGUUCGCCUCGAUCUCUCUGCAGGUUUGCAAAUCUACUUGCAAUUUCAAUGCUAGUUCAUGCAGGUGCCCAUUGCGUUUACGGGUUCUCGUCUUGUUUAUCUGCUUCGAUUCAUCGAUUUUGCUCAGCUGUAUGGGCGCAUGCUAUCACUGUACAAGGAACCUUGCGCUCCCUGUUAAUUCCUGUAGAUUCAGAAAAAAAUUAGCAGCGUUCCUUGGCUCAUGGUGCCUUCAAUUUCUUCUCUACGCAGAACUUGCUGCUGAAAAACAUGGUUCAGCAAGAAUCAAUAUAUCUGCUUGUGUUCAUGGUUGGACUUGAUAAUUGAAAGGAAUACUUAUAGCUGUGCAUGCAUUACCAGAUUGGUAACUAAUUGAUUACUUCUAGAAUUUGUUCCGACAGAACCACUGUCAAACUCGGUAAGGCUUUUCAUUGAGGCAAAAUUAACUUGGCUUCAGACAUUCAGUUUACAACAAGAAUCACCAUAUGCUUACUGAACACUGCUGGAUGUUGUCCACAACACUGCAAAUCUUUUUUUCAUCUGAUUGUUGGUUGCUGACCCUAUAAAGUUAAUGCAUCUAUUGCUCUGAAGUCUAAAACUGUAACUGAUCUAAGCCUCUGAACAUUAGUUCUAUCAUUUCUAUUGUGCUUUGUUCAGUCUUAAACAUGUAGAAUCUGGUAGCAUUAAAACAUGGUUGGUACUCAUGGAGGGGGGACUUUGUGUGGGAGUCCAAAAAGAAUGAAAAUUCCUACUAGUAAUACCUAAACUUCCUAUUAAAAAACUAGACCUGUGGGGGUAUGACGCCCCCGGCAUUUGGUUAAGAAGAAGAUCUUCUUACGUAAGCCUAGAAAACUCCUGAACUCCUACCUCACCCUUACACAGUGGGUCCAUGUGAGAAUUAGAUCAAACCUUCUUAUGCUUUGGUAUGGUGGCAGGUGAGAGGAUUUUUUUCGCUUCCGUAGGAAGUCGAAUCCGAGAUGUGAGGAGGUUCUACUUGAGCCUCUAACCAAAUCAGCGGUCGUUCGCACCUGAGCUUCCCGUUACUUUUUAGGAUGCUGCUAAUUUACGGCCGGCCGUAUUUCAGGUCGAUCGCGGCCGCACCAUUUUUGACAGUAAUGAUUAGGAAAAGCAAGUCGCUUUCCAUUUUUGUCUUCUGCCUGUGCAGGCAAGGUUUGACUCCUGAUAUGUCUGCUUCUGCACUAGAGAACAAAUUGAACCACCCAAGAACCGCAGAACAUUGGGAAAAUUGCCCAGUACAAAAAAAAAAGGCAUAGGUACAGCGUGCCAGAUCACCAAUGCAAGCAAAUUAUAACAUAUACAAAGGUAAAUUAGAACGUAUCUAAAGGUAAAUUAGAACAUAUACAAAGGCAUUUUCACCCAUCCAUUUCCAAAACAUUCACAAAAUCAAGUCUUCAGGCCUAAUCCCGUGGCACCAAAAUGAAAACAUGGAUUAGCUCCAUCAUCAAGUUCGUGCGAAUCUGCUAUGACACCAAGCACAAAUCAGCAAACAAGAAAAAAGUUGAUCAGUAUAUAAAAUAAAAGAGGGCACAUAAUCGGAAUAUAAAUUUGCCAAAACUAGAAUAAAAAUUAUAAACUAAAAUGAGUUUAUAAGAAAAGUUAUAAUCACUGUAUGAAAGUAUUAGUGUACUACUCUAGUCUACAUUGCAGCGUUAGGAAAUUAAUUGUAGUUGCAAAACUCUCCUACUAGUCAAACAUACAGUAGCUCACAUUAACUGCUUUUACUUUUCAUACAUGAAUUAGUAAUGUGAUUAGAAUUGCAUGAUCAGAACAGUUGUACCAAUAUCAGCACUGUAUCUAGUUUCUUUUCAGCUCAGAAUGUUAAAAGACUGUAAGGUUGCAGAUUUAUAAAAUCAUGUCAUUUUGCAUGCCCAUUAUCAUAUUAUUGUCUAAAGAAAUGCAUUACAUAUUCUUUUCCUAGUUCAGAGCUAUGUAUGUUGACUAGUGCCACAUGACUCUUUUAAAAUAGUAAGAUAAUUAUCAUAACACAUGAUUAAAAAAUGAUAAAAUGAUCUUAUAGCCUACAGUUCUACUAGUAAGUCAAGAAAAACAAAGGAAAAUGUAUCAGGAAAUAUGUACAAAAUUUGAACUCACAUCUUAGAAUUGCACAACCUACUAGCAUUUAACAACCUAGCAAUAUUUUUUGCCUGUGGUUUUUAUUUCAGGAUUGCGCCAAGAAAGUAAUAAUCAGAAAAUAUGUAGUAGACUUAAAAAUAGGUUAGAUCAGGCUAAAGAACUAGCUUAUAUAUCUAGUACACGGUAGUAGUAGUUGUCUUUGAGCUACUAUUGAAAACAAUAAUUAUAAGGGAUUGUGAAAAAUGCUCAAUGAAAAAUUGCCUAAUGAAAUAUAUUGUUUUGCAUAAUCCAGAACCAUAUCAAUGCCCAAUUCUUGUCAUAAUAUUGCCUAAUUCGGGGGGCCAUAGUAUUUGCUAUUUUAGAAAUUUAUUGUUGCCUUACGAAUAUAUUGUUUUGCCUAAUUCAGUAGAAUAUUAUUAGCUAAUUCGCAGACGUAGUAUUUUCUAAUUAAGAACCAUAUUAUUAUUGUCCUGUGAAGUAUACUGUUAGCAUAUUAUUGCCUAAUAAAUUACAAUGAGACAUUUGCUACUAUUACUUGACCUAGUAUAAAAUGACCUUGAUGGCCUUGGCUAAAUAGAAUGCAUAAAUUUGCUUGCACUUCCAGAAAAACCUAAACCAUUCAAUAAUUUAUAAUUCAUAGCCCUUUCACCUUUUUGAACAAGAUUGUAGGAAAGUUCAUUACAAAAAUUUAACCAAAUCAAAACAAAAGCAGUUGGCAAAUUACGAUAAUGUGAAGAAAAAAAUAAGGACAACAAAGAUUUUAUUCUUUGCAGCAGUCACAAAAUACUUAUAUGCAAAAGGAUGUGAAAUGUCACACUUUCCAAAGACAGCAACAAGGCUGCAAAAAGCACUCACUGUCCAUGAUGGUCAACUUCAGAUCGGUUAGCACCUGAACCACAUCCAGCGCUGAUCCUGCGAGUGGCUUACAGCCAAGAACCAAGCAGAGUUAGCAGAGGACACAGGUCAAACAACAGAAAUAAACAGCCAUGGGGAAUGGAACGACAUAAAGAAACAACAGUUGGGAAUUUACUCGCCAGUUCUGAAUAAUAGAAAGAAUCAACCACGAGCAGUUAAAUGGCAGAAAUAAAGAAGCAUGGGAAAUGAUCUACUAGUUCCGAACCAUAAAAAACACAUGCGAGAGAAAUGAAAGAAGAAUGGAAGAGAAAUAAAGGAACACUUGCCGUUGAGACCUAGUCACCACCAGCAAGUUAAAACAGAUGAAUACAUGUGCGGUUAAUGCCUAUGAAAAAUUAUAAAGGCCGCAUUUGAUGCAUUAAAUCCAUUACUGAGGUUAUACCUGAUACAUCUAGUAACAGUGCUGCUAGUUCUGUAUGACCUCUUGAAAAUGAGAUGCUUAAUGGCAUUGCCUAAUGUGUUUAGCUAAUUUAUAACCAUAUUUUUACCUAACCUAAAAGGUAUUAUUGUCUAAAGGUGGGAGUUGUGACACAACAAAACCAGGGCUGAAAAAAUAAGUUAUGAAUAAUUAGCUUCUAUAUAUCUAGUACCAACACUGCUGGCUGAAGGCAAAGCAAACAAAAUGAAGUGCGCUCUUGUGCCUAAUUCAGACCUAUAUAUUGCCUAAUGUUUAGCAGUGUUAUUGCAUAACGCUAACAGAGGGCAAAAAAAGCAGGAAAGCUUGCCUAAAACAUAACAGAGGGCACAUCAUAGCAUGUUUCCAUAUGAAAUGGUUCUGCUUGCUCACAUGAAAAGGCUAGGAACGCUGCUGGCAGCCUCUCCUCGCCAUCCCGAACCACCCAGGGCUUCCCCCUUGCCACCGCCAGCCAUCUGAGAGAGGAGAAGGGAAAAGAGGAGGAGGAGGAGAGGAGGAAGGGGGCGCGUCGGAGGAGCUGCCGUGCCGCGCUAGGAAGGAACCGGAGCUGCCUCGUCGCCGUCCUAGGAGGAGGAGUCGCCGCCGCAUUCAUCGAGGAAGCCACCGCCGUUCUGCGAUCCUUCACCGUGCCGGCGUCCCUCUUCUUCUCCACCCUCGGUGAGCUGCGCCACCACCUCCCUUGCUCUGCCUGACCGGCCUUCGUGCCGCCCGUAUCCCUUGCAUGAUCGUCCUUCGAGCCGCAGCCGUCACCACCGUCACCAUGGCCGCCACGAGUUCGGGGUGCCGGAACCCCGCGCGCCGCCACAGGCGUGUCAUGGGAAGGGGGUUCCCCUGCGCCGCACACACGCAGCCGCCUCACGCCUGCCUUGCCGCAGCGAAAGCCUUCACCUUUGGCCGGGCUGCAGCCCCGCGCCGCGCCCCACCCUACCACCGCGCCUGCUUUGACGCACCACGCUGCCCGCAGCUCCACCGCGUGCUAGCCCGCGCCGCGCCAUUAUGGCUGCAGUCACCACUUGCGUCACGCCGCCGCAACACCGCGCCCGCCGCCAUAGCCAAUUAGGUGCGCGCCCCACGCUCGGCCACACGAGCAUGGCGCACGGGAUUCGGUUGGCCAACCGAAUCCCGGCACAGCCUGGACGGCCACGUGUGCGGGCAGCAAUGCCACGUAAGACUAGGCCGGCCACGUGGCUGCCACGUGGGGCCACGUGGCACUGACUUGUCAAGGGUCGGGCCCACUCAUGGGGCCAUUGACCCGUGGGGCCCACCUGCUGAUCAAUGGGGCCUAGUUGACCACUAACCAGAUAAUGUUGACCAAGUCAACAUUGAUCGUUGACCGGUCAACACUGAUGUCAGCCGACACGUAGCACUCUCCCGUGCUGCCACAUGGCUUAAACAGAAGCUGACACGCGUCACCUAAUUUAUGAAUUUCCAAAAUUAAAUAAAUAAUUAAAUAAAUCCUUUUACCUUUGAAAAUUCAUAACUAAUUCAUCUUAACUUAGAAAUCUUGGAGUUUUUGCCUAGAUUAAAUGCCAAUUAAUUUAUAUUCGCUACUACCUCGAGGACUCUUAUGAUCCCGACUACACCGAGGAGGACUUCAACGAUGACAGACAAGGUAUCAUGUCACUCCCAAUCAUAUAGAACCUAUGCAUGCUUAGUUGCUAACACUUUAUUUAUGAUGCUUGGAUGAUGAUUGAUUGCGUAGCGUAUGUUUCUAGCCAUGCCUUGAUAAUUAUUUAUCCUGCUUUCCUUGUUACCUACUUGUGGACUAGCUGCGAACCUCUAGCUAAUCCACCUUACUUAUAUCCAUAUACAUGCUUUUGAGUUUUGGAUGGGCAUAUGCCAUGGAUUUGGUGAUGGGAUUCCUUGUACACCCUCGCGUGUGUUUUGGGUGCGUGUGAUCCCUUGACGUGUUUUGGCGAGAGCGAGCCGCGGUUGGUAAUGAGGAGUGCCUUGCUAGGGGAGAACUUUCUGGACUCUCUCCACCCCCUGUGCUUGUGGCAGGUACCUUAUUUGACACUGAGGAGCAGGUGGCAUAUCUGUACAUUGCUGGUGCUUCGGCAAAUACUUUGUGGAGUUGAGUGCUCGCUCUUGUCCCUUAAGGAUCGAGUCAGUUUAAGCAUAUUUCUUUGGACCAUUUACAUACAUACCGUUCGCUCACAUUAUGGGCGGGGUUCGGUCCGAGACUAGUGGUGGAUAGCACUCAGCCUGUAGGUGGAUUGGAGGAUCAGUGUAAGGAAUUCGAAUUCGAUACGUUGACCUGCUCUGACCAGACUACACCCUGGCGUGGUUAGGUUUCACAGCUUCGAGGUCUUCAACUAGUCAUGGCGUGCCCUACAGUCGAAGACACUACCAGACUCGAGGAACAAGAGAGUGCUAGCCACCUACUAGGGCUCCGACCGUUAGGUGGGGUUUAGACGGCAUAUCCCCGUUCAGGCUCCAUCCGUGCAGGUACAGAUGUAUAACCUUUGCAGAGUGUAUAACCUAUAGCUAUAGUCCGUGUCCAUUGGGAUGGAUAGUCCCCUAAUCUGUUACUCUGACUAGACUUAUACUACACUUCUACCUUCCCCCCUUUUUUGAGAUAGGCUGGCGUUUGACGUUGAGAUGUGAGGGAAGGGAGCUCUCACAUCGCCUAGUGUGUUUGUGUACUAGAUUCUUAGGUGAAGGAUCUGGUGGUUUGUGACGACUUCCUUGUUGUGAGGUGUUGACCUCGAAGAUGGUAUUGCUUUGAUGCAUCCUUGAUUGCUGUUGUUGCUGCAUAAACUUCUACAACCAUAUAUAGGUUUAUCCAUGCAUAUAGUAUUAUUCCCCCAUUUUCUUGGCUUGCUGCUAUUGGGAGUUGACAUGCCUUACCCGCUUCUCGGAUAGAUGGUGGCUUUUCAGGGUCGGAGCCCGACUACAACUUCAACAACGACGAAUAGAAAAACUAGGGAUGGUCCCUCGCUCAAGUUGCCUCUGGAGGUGGUGUUCGCCAUAGCUCAUGUUUCCACUGCGUAGAUAUUUUACCUUUCAUGAUUCAAUCCUGAUGGACUUGUACUUGUAUGAGCCGAAGAGAUGUACUCGUUAUUUAUAAUAUUAUUACUCUGUUGCUACUUUAUAUUUCUGUGUUGGUAUGGAUUUGUACUAUCUGCGUUAAGAAUUCGCAUAUGAUAGCCUUCCUGGGACUAUCACAGAGAUGCGUAGGCUUGAAUUCUCAGAAAUGUGAAUUCAGGUAGUUUCACUUGUAGUCCACACCUUUUGUACAUAUUUUAUCUCCUUUAAUAUAAAAAAUCAGUAGGGGCCUCCCCUGCUGUUCCAGUUAAAAAAAGAUAAAUAAAGCACUAGCAAACUAAUCGAGCAAUGCUUAAUAGGUAUUCAAAAUGGAAUGGGCGUGAACCUAAGUAGUAUUCCUCCUCCUUGAAGUACUCCUUGUAGUUCUGCCCCUGGUUCAGCUGCGGGUCUUCAGUGGCUCCUAAAUAUGUAAUUACCAUAAUCAAAGGGGUCUAAAAGCGAACUAAAUCCAAAACAGAUCUAUAGAAGGUCCAAACAAGAUCAAUACUUAGUCUACCAUGUGCUUCAUGAUUUAAGAAAAAUUAUGAAACUAGUUCCAUAAUUUUUGGAGUUAAAAUGAAAUAGUUAUGAAUUUUUGAAGUUUAAAUCAAUUUUUAGAUUUUUAAAUAAUUUUCGAAAAUUAGAAAAACACAUGGGUGCCAUGUGGCCGCACUAGAGCGUGCCACGUGCCCUGCUGGCAUCAUCAGUGGACCAUGACCAAAACUUAAUGACUUACUUGACCAAAACGUUAUUGCAAAAACAUGAUCAUUUUUUCAACCAGGUGCAAUGCGAUAACAAGAACUACAUAGUGUCUUGGGAUGACCCAUUUGCCUUUACAUAUAUCCACCAUCUAAUUGUGCGAGUUCCAUCCCUCUCUUUCCCAUCAUUAUUUUUUCAUGACCAUUAGAAGUUUAUCCUAGUUUGACAAUAGUUUGGAUAUAAUAUUUUGCUAGAUUAUUUUUACCUACCAAGUUCCACAUGAGCCUUCCACUUGUUCACAUGAGUGGAAUAUGUUGAUAAUGUUCUAGCAUAGGCUUAAGGGACUUGUAGCUGAAAUGAAAGUUAUGAAGUUUUCUUAAAUUUCAGAGCAUUAUAUUAAAUUCUAUGUGGCUUGUUCCUUAUUAAAAAAAAUGUAUAUCCUCUAUAAUUAUAAGUUGGCUACUACCUGAGCAUCAAUUGAUCAUCUAAUGGAGCAUUAUGUUUUAGCUUUUAUGUGUCUAGGAUUGGCACUGAAGGGCAAUGCUGAUUUUUGUGGAGGACUCGCUCAAAGGACCAGCAAGGUUUCAGUAUGGGAGUGUUUUUUGACACUCCUUAUUGAUACAAUUCCAUCUCUAUUUACCUUGAACAUUAUUGGCAUAAAAUAAUAUCAUUAUCAUUAUCAUUGAUCAUAGUAGACAAUCAGAUCAUAUCUAGGUAUUGUUAUGUUUACAGUAUGUCGUGUGUUCAUAUGAAAAUAUAGCUGAACUCGCAGCAUUUACAUUCAAGGUCUAGAAACCAACAACGAGCCUAGAAGGAACGAAGACCAGAAGGCAAAAAUGUGGGCUGUCGAUCGAGGUCCACUAUGUCGCCCGUAUCUAGAUUUGGUGAAUGUUCAUUCUCGGAGAAACGGGGGCAAAGCACUUGAGGAUUUAGCAGUCAUUGUCAAGCCAUGUGCAAGCUCAGAAUUGGAAGGCGCAAUCAACAUUCAUGAAGAUCCGUUCAUAUAUUAUGGAUUUCGGUAGCUAGGACCCACAUGCAAGUAACAUGAUUCUGCUAGAAAAUAAGGAGUUGACAAGGGCGGACCAAUCCAAGAGCCGGGGGGUGGGGGGAGGGGGUGCUGAAGUCUCCUUCCUCUUCCCCUUCCCUUUCGUCUUAUCCCCUCACUUUCUCCUCCCUUACUCCAAUGGAACCUGCAUCCAGUAGGGGGGCUGCAGCCCCCCUCCUGGAUCCACCAUUGGGGAUUGACUUGGUGGGAAAAGCAACGUGACUUACCAAAGGAGUGCCAGGCGCAAUCAACAUUCAUGAAGAUCCGUUCAUAUAUUAUGGAUUUCGGUGGCUUUGACCCACAUGCAAGUGACAUGGUCCUUCUGAAAAAUCAGGGAUUGACUUGGCGGGAAAAGCAACACCACUUACCAAAGGAAAGGGAGCUUGCCAAUCGGCCAGGAUCCUUCUUGGCCGAUCAGCCAAGCAUCCCCCCUCCUAACAUUUGCCUACCAUUUAUAUCACAGCCUCCUUAGGAUAUGAAUAUCCCCUCCUUAAUUGGUCCCCAUCACUCGCAUAAGAAGAGAGGCUUGAGGAACAUUCAUCCAGAGGGAGCUAAGGGUUGUUCAAGUCAUCUGGAGUUUAGCUUAGGUAUGCUCUGGCUAGCGUGAUCACUCUGCAAGGAAGGUCCACCACUGAGUUCUAGAGCUAGGAAUAAUAGAUCAUAGGUAUGAUCUCCAUGGUUAUCUUUUUGUCACAGCAAUGUAAUUCCUGUUUUCCGAUUCAAUAACAAUCCAUAUGUCUCCUUUUUUUUCUAUUGUUAUAUGUGUAUGUUUAUUCCAAUCUAUGUAUGUUGUAGAUUGCUCCAAGUGCUCUUGCAAUCGUAGUGACUAGAGUUAGAUAUAUAAUCUAUCAUAGCAGUUAGACAUGUGACGAUUGUCUCCCCCAAUGCACUCUCGGUGCUCAUGCUCUUAGAGCGUCUUGCGUAGAACUGUAUGGGCCUAGUAGGGCCGAACGUGGAGGUUUUAAAUAUGCUGUAAGUGAGAUUCAUAUUUUGCUUGUUAUCUAGAGCUAUAAAACUACCAUGUAGGCAUGUUUAUGCUUUUCUAAGUUACCUCUCUAGGGUAAGUUAUCUAUUGUUGAUAGCUGUUCGUAGUGUUCUUGCAAACCCGAAUCAUGCUUACUUGACGCUUACUUGAUGUUACCUCUCUACAGAUUUCUUAUCCUCUAAACUUCCAUUUCUCAUCCCAUUAAACUUCCAGGCCCACUAAACAAACAAUAGAAUUUUAAUCUCUCGCAUCUAAACUCUUUUUCCCACCCACCAAUUAAAUCUUGUCCCAAAUCUUGAUCUUUAAGUUCUAAUCAUCCUUACACCUCCAUUCCAUAUUUUUGCCAAAUUUUUCUGAAUUUCAAAUUCAAAAUUCAAAUUUCGAUCAAAUUUGACCCGAAUUUGAUUUUUGGCCAAUUUCUUCUUCUUUUCUUCGUAAAUUGCUUCCAUUUCUUCAGAGUCACUUUGAUGACUAAAAAUGGCAGGUAUUAUAGCAGACCAUCCGACUUCGGAAAGGUGGACCGUCCAUUUUGAAUGGCGGACUGUUAUGCGGACUGUCCGCCGAUCAAGUGCGGACCGUUUUGGCAAAGGUAGACAGAUUCGGGAUGGUUUUCUAACUUGAAUGGCGGACCGUCCACCCCACAAUGGUGGACCGUCAGCAGUACAAAAUCAACACAGGAUGAAAAGAUGUGCAGAGGCUCGAUUGGUUGUGUGGUUGAACGGCGGACUGUCCGGCCAUCAUAUGCGGACCAUCCGUAGUACAAAAAGUGCUCAAGAAGUAGAAAUGUAAAGGUUCUGUUGUUUUUUGGUGUGCAAACGAAGGACUGUCCGCACCGCCCUCGUGGCUCGGCGACAACUCUAGCGUCGGUUUGGGGUGCGGUUUGUUUCUUUAGGUUCCCGGAAGUGUCUAGAGUUCAUCUAGGGAGAUAGAUUUGACACGCAUUAAGGAUUCAAAGCUCUAGGUCAUUAAUGGUGAUUUGGCUCUAAAGGGUUCCAUGGAUUCACAACAUAGGGCAAUGGGGAACGGAUCGGGGAUGGAGAUGGUUCAUCGGCGAUGUGUAGGACUCCGGUGAGGUGCCACAGGUUGGUGUAGGGUGGCGUUGGAGAAGCUCUGGGUCGUCCUUCACUUGAAUCUUGGGGAAGGUCUUGGGGAUGGAGGAAGAAGAUCUUGAGGAAACUUCAACUCCGAGCCCAAGGAAGAAGCUGAGGUCGAGGUGGUGCAGGGCAUCAACGUCGAGCUCCGGCAAUCCUCCAGCGAAGCUCCGGUGAGGUGAAGGCUUCAAUGGUGGAGGGACCUUGGGGGCUCCUCCAUGGCUUGGGUUGAGAGAGAGAGGAAGUGAAUAGGAUGGACUGCAAGGUGCUCUGUGCGAGGAGGGACGUGGGCUGACGAGUGGGUCCGUGUGGGUGACGUGGCGCAAAAGUUAUGCACGCGCGACACGUACCGAGGUGUGCUAGCGGACCGUCUACGAGUGAGGGGCGGACUGUUCGUGGUGACAUGGCAAAGGAGUUGCUGGGUCGUGCUUGACCGAGGCAAGUUUUGUUUAUUUGCAACCAUGAUUAAUGCUUAAUGAUGCUCACGAUGACAUGCUUAGUCUAAACAAGAUUAAGGCUGUUACAAUCCGGAUAUUUCCACACCUAAAACGUCAUAUAAUUGUACUGCACUAGCUACGUCAUUAUUAUGCUUAGUAAAGUGUGUGCCGCUUGCUCGGCACAAUGCAAGUUGAUCCCAAACCUAAUCCUGUAGCUGGGACACUUGUGGUCUAGUUUUGUGAACCUAUCCUUAAAUCCUGGACACUUGUGGUCUAAAUUAGGAACACUCUAACCCUGAAUGGUGGACACACAUUGCGGAAAAACCCCUUUCCCUGCUGGACCAGAACAAGAAUCUGGGAAGCACACUCUAGGAUCUAGCAGGUUGCUGCACAUUUAUGUACUGUACGUGUGCACUACAACAGACACAAGAACGUCAGCAAUGCCACCGUGGUACAUGCAUAGGCAUACUCGGUCGGUAAUCUUUAGCUUUAGCUGUUGUCAAAACUGCACCUGUUGGAAUGAACGUCACAACUCACAAACUAUGUCGACGAGGCGUCCAUCAAAGAUGAGUGUAAACAAGGCGAGUUAUCCUCCAGUUCAAUUCAAAAACGUGUGUCAAUUUUUCCUUGCACCAAAGGUGUGGAAAUUAAAGCUAGGCACAAAAUGUAUACAGAGAGAGAUUUUUUUCUUUUUAAGAAUCCCAUUGGUAAGAUAUGAUGAAUCAUGAAAACUAACGAAUUUGCAAAAGCCAUAAAUAUAUUCGAUACGAUCAAUAAUACAUAUAGGGUACUAUUGGCAAUGAACACUACGGGAAACAGACAGUUCGCUGAGUGCCUGGGGCACUCGGCGAAGGCCAAAAAACCCUCGGCGAAACGUUUGCCAAGUGUAACACUCGGCAAACGACACACGGUAAAUUUUGAGUCGGCAAAGUUAGCUUUGCCGAGUGUUCUAUGUCGUGCACUCGGCGAAGCUUUCGCCGAGUGACAACAAAACACUCGGCAAACAUAUUUUUUGAAAAAAAUAAAAAAAAACCAAAAGUGGCAGCCGCCACCACCACCGGCACCACGGCCGGCCACCACCGCCGCUGGUAGUUGCUGUUCCCGGCGCAGGCAUGGACCUUGCUGUUGUCCACCUCUGGGAAGAGGUAGGCCUGGGGGCACCUGGAGCUCGUGCACACUAUGCGGUCGCCGGAGCUGCAGGAGAAGGCCAUGGCGAGGUUGUAGCCGUCGAUCACCGAGAUGUCGUAGAAGUCCUGGGCGCCGCCGAGGGUGAACUCGGCCAGCGUCAGCGGAGGCUGCCCGGAGAGCGUGCAGGAGAGGGCGCCCGCGCAGUCGCCGGUCUGGCACUUCCCUCUGCUGUUAUUGUUGAAGGAGCAGCCCGUGCGGUCCCAGAUCCGCCGCCGCCACCCCAGUCGCCACGACCCGCCGCCGCCGCCGCCCCAGUCGCCACGACCCGCCGCCGCCGCCGCCCCACGGCCAGAUCCGCCGCCGCCGCCUCGGUCGCCACGACCCGCCACCGCCGCCACCCCGCGGCCAGAUCCACCGCCGCCGCCCCGGUCGCCACGACCCGCCGCCGGGAGGGCGCCAGAUCUGGCCGCGAAAGAAAGGGGAGCCAGAUCCGGCCGGGGGAGGGAGAGGGGCGCCAGAUCCGGCCGGGGGAGGGAGAGGGGAGGGGAGGGGAGGGAAGGGAAGGGGAGGAGGAGUGGAGGAUGUGCGCCGGGGGAGGGAGGGCCGCCGGGGGAGGGAGCUAGGGGAGGAGGAGGGGGCGGCGUGAGGGGAGGCCAGGGGGAGGAGGAGGGGGCAGCGUGAAGAAGAAGGCGCGGGGGGGGGGGGGGCGGGUGGUGUUUGUGGGCCGGGCCGGCCGGAGCCGGUACGGUUAAAAAAAGUUCGCCGAGUGUCCUAGGUGGGCACUCGGUAAAGUUUUUCUUUGCCGAGUGUCUACCCUAGGACACUCGGCAAAGUUUUUUUUAAAAAAAUUUAAAAAUAUCCAACAGUUUCAAAAAAAUACUAAAUUUUCACACGAAAUAAGAUAUGUUCUCUACUGACUAUACAAAAAGUUUUGUAGUCAAACCGAACUCGACCGUCACUUCGACUCUAAAUUUUAUCGAAUCCUUCUCAAAGUUACUAUUCUUCUUCUGAUAUGCUUCGGUUUGUAAUCAUCGUACAUGAUGAAAUGUGCAAAACCUUCCCAAUUUUUUUCCACAGCUUCCACGUAUUAUAUCAUCACAUAACUACAAAUCUCAUGAUUUUCAGACUUUGCUUGUUUUUUUUACAAUUUAAAAAAUACUACCGCCACACGCUCAUUGUCGUGUUUCCUGAACAAGAUGUUCAAAAUUUCUUUUCAUUUCAUGGGUCAGGUCUCAAAUUGAGCCAAAUAACAUGAAUAUCAUUUUUCUACUCAUUUUGUUCCACAAUUUGAAUCACUUGCAGUUCAAAUUUGACUUAUACCAAAAAUUUCCUUGAAAUGCAAUUAAUUAAAUAAAUAUAGCAAAUAAAUCAAAAUAUACCAAAUUUUAACAUGGAGUACCACGUGUUGUAUGUGGGGAGUAGAAAAAAUUCAAGGUGAAAAGAGGAAAAAAAAUUAUUUUUUUGCCGAGUGUCAAAAAAAACACUCGGCAAACCCCCCUCUUUGCCAAGUGUCUUUUUUGACACUCGGCAAACUACCCUCUUUGCCGAGUGUCUUUUUUGACACUCGGCAAAGAGGGUAGUUUGCCGAGUAUUUUUUAUUUGACACUCGGCAAACCCCCGAUUUGCCGAGUGUAUUUUUUUUGCCGAGUGUUUUUGGCUUGGCACUCGGCGAAGAGCUUGUUUGCCGAGUGCUCGAAAAAAACACUCGGCAAAAAAAAUACACUCGGCAAUUUUAAGGUUUCCCGUAGUGGAAUGGGAUGGGGCAUGUGAACUUGUGGUAAGAGCUUGUGGAGGGGAUUCACUUGGGAAUACUCAUUCCCUUGUUUGUCUUUUGGAGGAAAUUAACAGGGAGUUUAAGUGAGACUUUAUAUCCUUUGUUUGGCGUGGGGGUUUAGAGGUGAAAAUUCCCCUUGUGUGGUAGGUGCACAUUUUUUAUUUGAAUGUUUGAGCAUUACAAAUAAUUUAGCAAAUUACUAAAAUCUGUCAUAUGUAACGUUCCUUUAUUUCCUUGGUAUAAAAAAAAUCUUGACUCACAAAUUUUGUGCAUGCAUCCACACAUGAUGCUAAUUGUUUUUAAAUUUUUUUUGCUACAUGUUUAGUUUUCAAACUUUAAGGAUCAUUUGGAUUGAAAUGAAUAGAACGUGUUCACGCCUGCUAACACGUGUACGUUACACUCAGCUAGCAGGUGUUAGCUAGGCUCGACCAUAUGAAAUAUAGUAUUCAUCAAUUCGGAUAAGAGGGUACAAACAAUUAGAGUUAUGCUUACAUUGUAGGGUGCAAUAUCGUUGUAUCUAUUUUUUUAUCUUAGAAAAUCUCUUGUAUAAAUUAAAAAGAUAGAAAUGAAUGAUUAUUUGAGUAUAAGGAUAUAUGAUUUUUUGAGUAUAAGGAUGUAUGUAUAGAUCCACUAAAUGCAAUAAACAUAUAGUGGUAGAAAUAGAAAAAAUCCACAAGUUUUUAAAAAUACAAUUAGCAUUAUUUUACCAUAGCAAUGCACGGGCAUUUUGCUAGUUAUAUAUUAAGUCAUGAUUAAUAAUGUAAAUGCAUUUAUCUUCUACUUUUUAAAAAACAAAUUCUCACCCUCCCCAUGGGAAUUGAUUGGUGGGCAUUUCUCGUCCCAUUAAAACUUCCAGGCCCACUAAACAAAUAAUAGAAUUUUAAUCUCUCGCAUCUAAACUCUUUUUCCCACCCACCAAUUACAUCCAACCAAACAAGCCGAUAGUACAUAGAUAUAUAAUUAUACGUCAAGAAGAUGAGGCAGUGGAGGAAUUGCGUAUACAAUAUAUUACGAUGUGUAUGCGUAUAAGUUUAGCCGGCGCUAGCAUUCACAUAUGCAUGCUCCUCAGCCUACGUUGAUACAUGUACAUUCGUACAUACACACAGGACGGAAACACGAAAAGAAAGGGAAUUAACAAGCAGGCGACUUUAAACAGAGCGUCAAAUAAUUAAGUUGCCAAAACCGAGUAGACACUUCAUCCACGGUCGCUCACGAGCGAGCGGUCCGCGCGAUAAGCUUAUUUGGCGCCGCCGGUCUUACUCGGAGCCUGGGGGCUUGUAGGCGAUGAACAUGACGCACUGCACCUGCUUGAUGUUGUCGAAGCCGAUGAUACGGAUGUAACAGUCGGGGUAGGCCUUCUUGCACUCCUCGAACUCAGCGUACACCUGGGUGGCCUCGGUGCAGCCGAACAUGGGCAGCUUCCACAUGGUCCAGUAGCGCCCGUCGUAGUAACAGGGAGACGUGCUGUUCUCACGAUAGACGAACCCGAUCUUGCUGAACUCGAGGCAGGGAAUCCAGUUCUUCCGGAUCAGGUAGUCGAUCUGCUUUAGGACCUCGUCCGUGGAGAGAGGUGGCAGGUAGGAGAGGGUCUCGAACUUCUUGUUGCCCUCCGCCGGCCACACCUGAGCAAUUAACAAUACCCAUGCAUCAGUUCCUGACUUCCUACUACUCAGUUGCAUUUAACUCAGAUCGAUUGUCGAGCUGUUUAUUCGGUCGUGCAUGCUCUGUAUGUACUCUGUUUCUCUCUACUUAACGAAAAACAUGCUAUUGCGCGUCUUAAAAAAAAGAUCGAUCGAUUGUUACCUGCAUGCACCUGAUCCUUCCGCCGUUGCUGACGUUGCCGAAGCCGGAGCUGCUGGAGCGGCGGCUGACGGGGAGUCUGGCGGUGGACUUGAGCCCCUGGAAUGGAGCGACGGAGGUGGCGGCGGCCAUCGCGGUGGGGGCCAUGGCUUACUAGAGACCAAGCUAGCGAAUAAAACUGAAGCCUCAGUAGCUUGAGUUGAGGCUUGUGGCAAGGGGCACAUAUAACCAAACCAGAGGGGAUGUCAGGAUAUGGCAGGAGUGGCUGCUGUUGGACAGUCCAAACGUUUGUGGCUAGCUCAUGCGGCGUCAGCUGCUCU
This 48829-nucleotide long non-coding RNA is filed under the name Setaria viridis. RNAcentral's name for it is "long non-coding RNA (SVIR_LNC003473)". The record is from RNAcentral. Lineage: Eukaryota; Viridiplantae; Streptophyta; Magnoliopsida; Poales; Poaceae.